This is a long non-coding RNA of Gasterosteus aculeatus aculeatus (three-spined stickleback), 48052 nucleotides long. Lineage: Eukaryota; Metazoa; Chordata; Actinopteri; Perciformes; Gasterosteidae. The record is from Ensembl.
UUUGCUCCUGGGCUGAAAUGAGAAAGAAGCCCAUUCGGUGGCACUGGGACGGGAAAAUGGAGAAAAAUUAUUCCUCUACUAACAUCCUAGUUUUCUAUGCAAGGCUUGGCGUUGAUAUGCAGAUUUUGCAGUUGGAUGACAUUUAAAAGUAGUUAAUUGUGCAAAUCUUUGUUUUAGACUGGAAAGGUCGUGGAUUGUGAGAGUCUUUCAUCAUGAACUAACCGCCCCUCAUCAGCACAGCUGCAGAGAAGAGAGCAGGGUGGGGUUUGUUGGUUUCCGCGCUGGUCGUCUCGUCAAGUCGCCCAUCGCUUUCCAAGGUGGUUCAUGAAUAUUGAUACGCACAAACUGUUUGGAAAAUGAAAAUGAAAUCUGCAGCCCUUCAGAUGACUUGGCUCUCUGUUUUCACCAAAGAACAUAAUUCGGUACGAAAAUGCUUCAUUGUUUUCUUUUCUCAUAUUCCUAAAUGUCUGAAAUAUCAAAUUAAGCAUGUUGCUUCUUGAGGGACAAUUAGUUUUAUUGCGAAGCAAUUCCUCCUCCUAUUACACCACAACUUAACAACUCUCUAUUUCUCUCCCAUACAAUUUGCUUGGGUUUGGCUUUCAUAAAUUCUCUAUUGCAAUUUUCAGGGUAAACCUACAGAGUAAAAACAAUCCUUAACUCUGGAAGCUAUAAAAUGAUGCUAAAUGGAUUCAUUGCAUGAAAUGCUUUGUCCACAUUUUUGGGAUAUUACCAUCUAACAUGCUGCACUGUUGAAAACGCACAAUGAAUUAAAAAUACAGCAGGUGCACAGAUUUUUCACCUGGUUUCACCUGAAUAGCACAAAUGGAUACGUAAUUGCUCCAAUUUCAUCACUUCCCUUCGCCGGCUGACAUUAAAGGGAGCGCUUUGAGAGAGCGGAAUAAAGAUGAACACAUCCAACGGGGGACUUGAGCACAGCAUAAAUCUGAUCAUGCUUAUUUCUAUUUGUCUUUCAGAUUACAUUUUUAAAAAAAAAUCUCUCUUUGAUUUAGCUACCAUUAGGGUUCCUCCAAGAAUCCGCUGGUCUUGUUUGCUCAGUGAAAUAGCUCGGUGCACAUUUAAUCAACGCCCGAUUCUCCAGCCGCUCUUAGUUUUCGCCUCUGGAGCACGACAUCACAUCCUCCCCUGCUUCCCAGUCAAUAAAAACAAAAACAAAAAAGCCCAGAACAACUCCAAAGCUGCAGAUGGGCAGAUUCAGACCGACCAGAUUCAGGGUCCCCCGGCCAACUGCUCUGACAUGUCCAACACGGCGGUAUGCCUCGUCACUCCCCACCCCUCCACCCUAACAAAGGUUGGAUCCGACUCCCCUCUGGAGCUCCGGGCCCCAAGCGGCUUGCAGAGACCAGAGGCGUGACGGAGCCCCGGUCUGAAGGCCAAGAGCGCGGCCUGGGACCUCCUUUCAAAGCGCCCCCCCCCCUCCUCCUUCCUGGAAACCGGUGUCCAUUUAAUCCCCCUUCAAUUCCAUCUCUUACCGCCCAAACCCUCCAAUCAUCUCCUCCUGCUGCUCCCCGAACAGCGACACACACACACACACACACACACACACACACACACACACACAUUCCCCUUUGCAUUUUCUUCACUCAUCCCUCCCCCUUUUCCAUCUCCAAAUCUCACACUUGGUACUCGCCAUCACUUGGCCCCUCACCGCCCCAAACCGCCCAGCCCCUCCACCCUUCCAGGGGUGUGUAUUUCACGCCCUGGUGGCUGGACAGGCUCCGGGUGAUUUCCCGAGGUGGGGGGCUGAAGGUCGGGCAGGAACCCGUGGUGUGGAGUGAUGUCACAGCAGGGUCUAGGUUUUUGUCUGACUGUGUGUGUGUGUGUCUCUGCCUAUCUUCUGUGUCUGCAUGUGUAGGAGUAUAUAGUCUGAACUCCCUUCAAAGGGCCAGCUGUACAAAUGCUGCUCUGAAUGAGGGAGGUGUUGAAUUAACAAGCCAUACGAGGCGGCCUAUUCUCCUGCGUGGCUCCGCACACCGACCUGGCAAUAAUGAGGCAGAGACACAUUACAACGCUGCUUUAUGGGUUAUGUUCUGAAAAUUACUAGACCAAAGGGGCUAAUGUACUCCUUCCCCAAAGCCAGAUGAAAUGACAGCGCAGGGAGCCAACCGGGCGUAAUGAGAAUAUUGUGUUUUGAGUGAACCAAAAUGGGGAGAAUUUGCACAGGAUGUGGGCCAAGGCGACGGUCCCCGCUGUGCUCUUUAGACGGUGUUGGAGGAUCUUUUUCAAACCAUAUUAUUUAUUUGCCUCUAUUUACUUUGGCUAGUUUAACCCUCCGGACUGCUUUCUCAGUAACGCUCCACUUCAGCCACCUUCGGCUACACGUUCGCACCUCAGGGAGCAACGAGCGCUCCUGCUUGUACGGCCAGGUGUUAAUUGCCUUGCUCAGGGUCACUUCCACAAAAAGUUACUUGGGAAUGCGCUGGCUUUUUUUUCCUCCUUUCGCACGGCCAUCGCAUUCGAGGGAAACCGCCUCGCAGGGGAAAGACGCGGUUCUCUCGAGCUGCCAUUCGUGGUUGGAGCAGAAAUAGAUAGAGAGCAUUCUUCAACACGAUGGAGCUUUUCCUCCCCGGGUGACCUGCUCACUCCGCUCAAUAACAAUGUCAUGAGUGCAGACUCGGAGCUGUAUGUGGCCCCGUGUCCUCGGUGCAAUUAGCUGAACGCGUGCACGUCCACACCGUGGCUGCUACGUGACGGCCGAGCUCGCCUCUCCGACUCUCCUUUGUUGCUGUUCUGUGGUGUAGCCUGAAAUGACUUCAUCAAAGGGAAGGAUUCAUAUCGCAAAACCAAACAUGUUGAACAAUGCACUGGCACCGGCAUCAUCGCCAGACUGCAAGUGCAUGCGUGUGAGCUCCAGUUGCUGUGCCUAUACGGGCGACUCCCACCAUUGUAACGCCACCAAAAACAUGCAACACCGUUAUUCAGGAAAUAAAUUCCUGUGCUUCUUAAACUGACUUCUCAGUGUUCUUUUUGGUUUGUUUUAGGAAGAUCUUGCUGUUUUUAGUAAAUGGAGAAGGGACCAAGUUGAGAAAGUGUUUACCUGGUUCUUUUGAAUGCUUUUUUUCCUCCUCUAAAAUAGUUUUUAUUUAUUUUAUGUGAGAGUCAGAGAUUCCAACAAAAAUAUUUUAUAAAAUCAGCCGGGUCUUUUGCAACGAGAAAAAUCACAAUACUUUAAUCUCGCGUCUCAUUCACAGUGGAUAAAGGUUUGAAUUCCCCCUCCGAACCACGAAGAGAAAUAAACGUGUAAUAAAAACAAGCAGAGCAAAAGGCAGCCUCUUCCAAAUCCUUCUCAGCCAACUGCGAUAAGAUACGCCCCGCUGGGUCACGACAAGGUGAAAAAGAAAUAAUAGCUGAGUCAGUGAAAUAUCACCUGUAUCUGAUUGGCCCGGUGGCUUUGUUUGGGAGCCAAGUCAAUGUUUCCAUGGAAUGUUUGUUCUGUGCUCUCGUGAUGGACCAUAAAAGAGGAUGAACCCAUCCUGCUGUUUUUGACAAGUCCCCCCCCAAUCUCCCUAAGCCCCCCCCCAACACACACACACACACACACAAACACACACUUUGCAUCUCUUCUCUCUUUCAUCUCUCUGGCUUGUCCUCAAGUGACUCUUCCCCUAAGCGAUAUGUGGAUUGUUCCGUCCUCUUCUUGCCCGUAUAUCAAGGAGGAGGCAGGUGUGGUCUGUUCAGACUUUGUCAUGUAGAUCAUCCAGAUUCUCUUUCUCUAACCGGGAGGAUCCGGGUCGGUUGUAGCUGGGACGGCUGCUUGUCUGCACAGGAGGUGAUUUAACAUUCCUCUGCAGGCACUCAGCUGACCGAACCCGAGAGGAGGAAUGGGGAGACCGACAGGAGGAAUCCUGCUGCCCUCGUUGCGUUAGCGAAACAACAACCAACGGGACACAUGUUGCAUGUGUGAUUGUGUGUGAUUAGACAGCUGUGUGUUGGCUUACACGCGUGUGUGUCUGCGUGGGGUUACAGUGUACAAGCUCCUGCACACCGGGAAGAGAAAUACAUCCCGAAUGUGAGCAAAAUGAUUUGUUCAUGUGUGGAGCAACAGCUUCAUCGUCCUGCAUUCAGAAGGGAAAGGGAAGUAAUUAAACACAGUCUCUCAAAAUAUUUAAAUUCAUAUUUUCACUGGCGACUGAUGUAUGAACACAAUUUCAUAGUUGUUUCUCUAAGUGACUGUGAAAUGACUUUGGCUAGUUGUACAAAAUCAGCAUCUUCAUAGAAACUUAAAGGCUGGAAUCAUUUCAUUUACUAUAAACUUCCCCAAAUGACUACAGCUUGUGCUAAGAGAAGAAAUCAAGUCAGCCACGUUAUAUUAAGGAAGUAAUUGAAAUGAAUCUUUGACUUUCUAAUCGACUCUCAGUCAAAACAGAGUCAGGUCUGCAGAAUGAGAUGUUUAAAUAAAGGAUUGUUUCCUCCUCUACUUGGGGAGUCUUUCGCUCUCGCAGAUUAGAGAUGUGACUUCAUGCAAAAACAGCUGCUAGGCAUGAAUAUUUAACUGUGUUGUCCCCGUAGUAAAAACUCUUUGAAUGGAUUGUGCGUCUCACGCACGCAUUCGUCCUAAAACUGUCGAUUCUAGAAAAUAUUGACAAACAUACAUCUGGCGGCAGAUAAACUGCUGGUAACCGAAGUUAGUUAGCUAAAUAUUGCAAAUUCUGACUCUUUUCCCCCGAAAAAUCCAAAAACUGCCAGAAUAAAAUGAGCGGUCAGCGCCUGGGCUUUUGUGAACACACUAAACAGGACUCCAUUCGUCGGCCCGGCGGCUCAAUAACAUCAAUAGUCCCGUGGCCAGCGGUUAAUCCAGCUACUUAGAGGUCCGCAGAGCCACACCUCCCGCCUGAUCACAGCAGAUGUGUCCGAUUCUCAGCCGCCCCGGUGCGUCCACUUGAUUCUAAUCACCGUCUCGUUCUGUCCCCAAUACCUCAUCACCCAGACCUCUUCAAUAUGGGCCUGAUGGCGCCGAGCGGGACAGAUAAUCAGGCCGGGAGACUCUGUGUGUAGCGUAGUGAUUGCGACACCAUGCAAAGAUCCCCUUCAUUCAGGAUCUUCAAGAGCAAUGUUUUUCUCUAUGAGAACAAUACAAAUUCACAGGGAGAGGCUCAACAAGGAAAAGCCUCCUGACUUCGGUCCGUGUUUUUCUUUGCUUUCUGUGAUCUCACACGCUGCUCCACGAUCUGUUAUUCUUGUGCUCUGUGAUGCUCUGUCUCUUCUAUAUUACUCCCUGUAGACUCCCCCUCUACUCUGAUCAGGGAUCAGCAAGCUUUAGCAGUGAAGAGUGUCCCAAGUGUUUCUGUCAGUGGGUCUCUCUGCGGAGGAGGAUUCUCUCCCACGAGAUCCGUGUCCUUAAACGCAUCCGUCGGUUCUUUUUGAUGCCAUUGAUUUUCCCGCGUCUGAAGGCUUUCAGCCGCUGCUCCCCCUUUUUCUCUCAAUGAGCGGGGGAGCGGGAGAGAAAAGGAGGAUUAAAAAGAAAACAUGCUGUGGCUAAUUCACAAACAUGGAAAGUGACCCUUCAUGUGUACAUGUGUGAGCCCUCAUCUAUCUACGUCCAGGCUUUGUCCCUCUGACCCAAGUCCUCAUCGCCUUCAGGGCCGCGAGGUAAUAAACCCCCCGACCGGGCCUGACCUCUCGCACAAGAAGCUCAGAGGAAAAAAAACGCAGCGCUCUCUUGUCCGAUAUGACAGGAAUCCCUUUUUCUCUGCCUUCCAUCUCUUGAUGUAGAGAAAAGCGCAUUGACUUUGAAGGUUGGCUACAGAAACAUCACAAGCUCAAAGCUUGUUCCGAGGUAAAGGAGCGGAUCAAUACUUUUCAUAUUCCGCUGCGGUGGAGUGCUAUCGACCCGGGGGCCUUCGCAUGGCCGCGCCGCCCCACAACCAGCAAGGCGCGUUGGUCCCAAACACGCUGCCGUAAUCAGAGAAAGACACUCUUGUGUCUGACAGGUCUCCCCGUCCUCCGCAGCCUUCCUCUCUCCUCGUAGCUCCUUCAGGAUUGAUGUAUCAGGAAAGUGGUUCUAUCCCCAGCAUAAGAGUCUAAAGAGAAACUGUCAGAACCAAAGUGACGGAGCCAGAUCGAGAUGCUAGGCCGAGUGCAUGUGUCGUCACCAGACAGGGUGACUCUGAAGAGGCUGUUUGACGGCGUCGCCAGUGAAGCCGGUGGCAAAAAAACAAAAACAAGCACUCCCACAGUUUAGAAGUGAUGCUUUUCCUCCCGGCUUCUUCCGUAAGAGGCCUGUCCCGUGAACAUUUCAUUGUUUGAACUUCCCCCGAGUGCAACUCUCGGGCUCAAAUUCAAAUGUACACACUUCAGUGAAUUGCUCGCAAUCUUGGGAUCCGUCAUCGCUGCCCUUCACGCCGUAAUCCAGAAACAGUCGGAGGCCUGUGUGUUGAUGGCGAGCCUGCGGCCCAAUCACAUUCAUUCCACCUAAUGUGGUUGCACCGACCCUGCCGCCGCGGACCCCCUGCUGUCAACCUGAUUUAACCGGCGUAUCUGCUGCACCUGUCUUUACCCGUGAAAGACUCAACACUGUCAUUGGCAGAAAUGGCAGAUCAUGAUCAUCAUCACGCUCAUCACCGCCACCAUCGCUCUCUCGCUAUCAUCGUGUUCAUCUUGACUAUCACCGUGAUUUUACAGAGCGAGCAGUGGGUAUCGCUGUCAGGAUGACACUUUGGGAUGUGAAGGUGGAGGUUUCUCUCUGCAGGCGGCCGCAACCUGCGAGGUUUGGUUUGUGACCCCGCAGAGAAGCACAGAUGGGAUUUAUAUUUCUUCAGCAAAGGCAAACUGUUGUCUUGUGGGAGAGGAUGACAAAAAAAAAGAGACUUGUCCAGGAUGCAACUGACAUCUUGCAACCAAGGUGGCAAACUAUUACUCCUAUCAACCCUGACAAAGGUAGCACUGACCUAAUCCAUUCCUUUCUUCCUUUCACAAUAAAAGCUCUGAAUCUAGACAUUGAAGAGAUGUGUCCACUUCAUAGAGAAAUAGGAAAAAGGCCAUAAUAGUGAAAGUUUUAUCUUUGUCUUUUCAUCUUGUAAAAUGUUUUUGUGUGUACAGUGGCGCCUACACGGUGCUUUUGUAUCACAUCCAUGCUUCAUUCAUCAUUUCCUCUUUUUCAUGCAGUUUUUGUCCGUUUUCAUGUAUUUUUAUUUUUUUUAAUAGGUUAAAAUUAAUUCAGGGAGUGCAUUUAGUGACAGUGUGGGCUCCUUUGUAGCUCUGAAGGCUUGAUGGAGUAGAGGUAGUCGGAGGUUAGCGAGAGCUCAAUUUAACAAGCCUGUAAAAUCUUUAUAACACUACACUCAUUUGGCAGGAGCUGGUGUCUAAAUGGAACCAAAUGCAUUCAAAUUAUAUUGGAACAAGAGCUAAAUCAAAACAUGGAAGUGGAUCCCUCCUAAAAGCACGGCCAAUGCUGCAUUUCAAGUGGCUGUUGUUGUUUUUUGUUUUUUUUCUUGUUUGUUGGGGGAUUUGUAUUUAAUCCAGAGAAGUAAUUGACAUCUUGUUUUGCAAAACCUCAUUUCAACAAACGCAUUCUCUAUGUUCUGUCUGUGUUUCCAAUUAUAGAGCUUCUUCCAUAGACACGCUAUAAGUACUGUAUGAGAACACAUGGUUCACUGUGGAAGGCUUCCAUUGCAUAUACAGCGCACAUGUACAGCAGGUAUAGUCGCACAAAUAUAAAACAGUCAGCAGUCAAAAAUGAGGGGUGAAAAUUUGUCCGGUGCCACUUACGCUCGACAGGCACCCUAAAGGUCACAAAGGUCGAGCCAGAACCAACAACGGGAAUAUCGUGUACUCAUUGUACUCGAACAUAUGAAUGCUUAUGAAGCCAUAUGAAAACACUCCAAACACACUACAACAAGUUAGGAAAUAUGUGUGCAAAUCAGUCCUGAUAAUUUGCUCACAGUGAUGUCUGUAUCUUUUCUCUCAAACCUUCUCUUAAGCCAAAGCCAGAGCUGAAUACCCACCAAGCAGCCAGCAUUUAAACCAUAAAUGACCGUUACCUUUGAAUGAAAUUAAUCCGGGUUCUUUCUCGAGAUAUUAGCAUCGGGCAUCGUAUGCACAUCACAAGCAACUUCCGCGCAGGUUUUAGGGGAUGAGGGUGAGGGGGGGGGGUUCUGCUGUAAUCUUGCCCUGCUGUCAUGACAGCAAGAGUGUUUGGCCGAGAUAUGACGAAACUAAACUAGACCCAUGCCCAGGCCGUCCCUUCAUGUGCAAUAUUUUGUCCUGCGUGAGCAGAGACAUAUAUUUGGUGUGAGUGGAGGAAUGUGGCUGCUUGCCACAGGCAUGCUGGUGUAUGAGGGCUCUAGGCUGCGUAUGUGAUAGAGAAACGCCCGCUGUCUCCAGUCUUUGUGCAACGCUAACUGGCUGCCGGCUGUGGCCUUUAUGUUCACCGUCACGAUUGAGCUUUUUGUUUUCAUGUUCUAGGAUUUUUUUUUUACUGUGAGCACCACAGAGAGUUUAAAGCGAGGGACAUUUACAUUCCCCAGUCUCAGGAGCUUAUGAGUGUGAAGUGCAUCACAUGUAUUCUGGCUCCUACGGAGGAUCGUGCCUUCAUCUAGAAGAUAAAGGGUGUGUGUCAACAUCGCUGCUCUUUCUGAAGAUAAUGGUGAAAAAGAAAGUACCUUUACUGGACAUGCGUCCCCCUAUCGAUUACCUUAAUACAUUUGUGGUUACGUUUCUUGUAUAUGGUGUGUGCUUUGUGAAUCAUUUCUGACUCUACAAAGUCACACAGCAUACAAACAAAGGAAACUACGGUAUUUGGAUGUAUUUUAAUGGCUCAGUCAAUGGCAUAUUGAAUAAACUAUGUGAGCAGCAUGUACCGCAGGCAAAUACAUUUUCUCAUUAUAUUUUUUCCAGUACUUGUAGCUCUCCCACUAUACAUAUUUCUGCUUUAAAAUUCUGGCCUGUCGACAUUGAUCACAUGAGACCGUUAUGGCGGUCUGGAGAGAAAGGUUAGAGUGAGCCUGGAUGGAGGGAGUAAGGCCAACUGGAGAACCUUCUGGGAAAGAACUCUUGCUCGUUGACUAUUUAAAUAGACUUGACUUGACAAGUAUCUCACGACGAUGGUAUUCAAAGAUAAGUGGUGACUUCCUGCAUUUAUUUUUUGGAGUCACGAGCUUGCCAGGGCAGCCAUGGGGUUGAUUAUCUUUCAGCUCCAUGGCCACGCUCCAUGCGGGAAACAUCACUGUGUCUCUUCUUUGUGUGGCGUUGCGAGGCAGGCAGGAUCCUGGCGCGGCCUGUAGAUUUCCACUGUGAGCUUUUUAUGGUCAGCUUGAAUGGUGCACUGAUGAAAAAUGGAGAUCACUUCAGGCCCCACUGUUCUUCUCAGAUUUUACUCUUGGCAAUCACAAUUAUUACUUUUUAAAAAAAAUGUCUUUAAUUUGACCCAGACUGAUUUUUGCACCAAUUUCUAUGCUAAUCUGAAAAAGCAGGUCUCUUUUUUUUUUAUGAUACAAAAGUAACCUGUUCAUUUCAAGCAUAAUUUUAUUCAGUCAGUCUUAUAGAGGCACGGAGCUCUGAUUUCUUACAUACCUGUUUUUGUUUUUUUGAUCAGAUGUACCUCAAGCACGUUUUAAAAUGAAACUUUGGCAUUUCCCCGUACCGUCCUGCAACUUAUCAGUCCAAUAUUGCAUUUACUGUUGUGACCUUCGCUGCGUCUGCCUGUGCUACAGACCUCUCUCGUGUGUUUGCAGAGGCUUUCGGUCUCUCCUCUGAGAUGCAAGGAGAGCACAAAAACAUGUCUAUGAUUGAACAUUCGUCCUCGUACGUACACAUUGUGGUGCACACCGAAAGACGGGGACGUAAAGCGAUGACCUUCCUCAGGCUAGAUCAUUAAUGUAGCCUCACACGGCCAAUGCUCAGCACACGCCCACAAAUAAUUGACUAUGCACGUCUGGUGGACUUUCAUCACCUGCCAAAGGACCGAAAGUUUGUACUUGUUCUGCGGCUCUUAUCCUUCCCUGGAAUCCCAGUCAAUAUGUUUGUUUUCGGAGAAUGUGUGGGAGACGGGUAGAGUGUUUGAUUAAAAGGCUGUAUUGACAGAUUUGAGUCAACAGGAACAAAUCUCCAUCGCACGGCUCAAUAUGAAGGCUAUCAAACUUAGAGGAGGGAGUAAGCAUGUGUCUGUCGGGUACAGCACCAGUGUUUUAGUGGGUGUGUGGUUUGAUAUAUGUUGGUAAGCAGAGGAGUAUUUGUGUCAUACUGUGUCUCUGCCUGCAGUGAAAGUCAAUACUGUCCUGUGGUUAAAUCAUUUUACUCAGUGGAGAGUAUUGGAGGAAACACCAAAGCUGCAGUUAAGACUUUAACUCCCGGACAAGACCUCACAUGUGACCUGAGACUGGUGAGGAACUCGGAGAGAACGCAUGGAGACAACGAUUGCUGGAGAUUUCAGGCAGUUUAAACCAAAAGCUUGAUUGGCCAGCAACCUGCAUAAACAUGAAAGCAUCAUCCGUGUGUGUACGCAGGAAUCAGGGGCUUAAUUUGUGAGUUUCUCAAAGAGACAGAUGCUUAAACGGCUGAAUUUCUAGGGUGCUACGUCACCAAAGACUGCUGAAGGACCGUUCCAAAUCUGAGGAUACUUUCAAUUUUACCGCAGUCCAAUUCGUUGGUUAAGAGGAUUUUGAAAGCAUUUCCUGUCCCCCGUAUUAGAAACAAGUGAAAUAUGCUGCUAAACGUUAUUUCAAUCCAGUGUCCAUAAUUUGUUUCUGAACAAAUCUUGGGCACGACAUCAAUCUAGUUGUUGAAUCUUUCCUGAUAUUAAAAAAAAUGUUUUUCCACGUGUAUGGUUGCCAAGCAACUCAGUAUAUGUCUAAUUGAGAAACUACCCAGUUCUUUAGGUUGAGUGGAAACACCAACAUGGGUGCACGGAAAAAACAUUCAUACUAAUUGCAUAGAAAGGGACUAAAAUUGUUCAUGUUUGUAAAAAUAUCUUUUGGUGAUCUUAUCUUUGGGCGUAGUGUGGCUGCUCUGCAUUAAUAACAAUGUUUUUAGUUCUGUGGGUAGUUGUUUUACACGCGCUCUAGAGACUCCUGUGUGUGUGUGUGUGUGUGUGUGGUAAAAGAGAGAUGUGAUUCAAUCUUGACAGGUGAAGGCAGUUAAGCAGGAGAGAAAAAGUGUCUUACCGGGCAGGGCAAUGUGAAAGUGUGGACAAAGAGAACUGAAAAUGUCACAGUGAAGAAGAAAGACUGUUUAGGCAUUGACGGAUGAGAAGAGAAAUGCAAUCUGGGCCCAAACAGAGGUGUAACAGACCAAUUUGUUUGUGGUGUAAUGGAGAGAAGAUGGGUUGGCCUGGGUGAUAAGUUGGCCAGGUCUGGGCCGGGCUGCACUGGGAGGAUAAGAGGGGUUCUGAGGUCUGUGUGAGAAACAUUCAGAUAGAAGAAUAUCUGGUGCAGCUGGGAAAGAAAGGUGAAGCCAACAGGCACGGCAGGAAUACAAAGGCCUAUGGAUGUGAUAUUUCAGCACUAUAAAGCAGGUAACUUUUUUACAGGGCUGUCUUUAAGUCUUUGGGGGAAGUCCAAGUCCAAAGAAUUCAAUACGAGUCUUAUGGUCUCAAGGUCCCCCGAACCUCAAUGUGGCAACCGUGCCCUCCAUCCACAAAGAUAUAUAGAAAUAAUGGUUUGGUGCAUUGCCAAUAACAUGCAAAGGCAGACAAAGCAGCCUUGCAGAAAGGACUCUGGCUACUGAGAUAGCUUUGGGAUGGGGAAUAUCAGCUAGCCGUGCGAUAACAACGGACUUUUGAGACCUUGACCUUCAGACCUAGUAACAAUAGAAAGUGGCAUAGCAAAAUUGAUUAAUGUAUUUGGCGCUAUAAGCUUUGUUGUGGAACUGAUUUUGCUGCAUUGCUAACUGCUAAACAAAAAGGUGCCGUCUAAGUAGGAAACGCUGGUCAAUAGAAACGGCUCCCCAAGCUUCCCAUUUCUCGUUACCGUGCAGUUUACUCGCCUCUGGCUUGAUGAUUGAACACAGUUUCAUUCAUUGAAACGUUUUAUUGAGGAGGGAAAAUAAGGUCUCUGAGCUAGUGAGCUACUAUAACGGCCCAUUGUCACUCUGCAAGCUCGUUAGCUUGACUGCUAAUCGGACCACCAUUCCUCCUUUUAGCAGUCAAGAGAGAAGGUUCAAUAGGCAUUUUGGACUCGUUGGCCCUUUGUUUUCGCAAAAAAAGAAUUUGCGCUGAGAAAGCCCACUGAUCAAUAUUGCUGUUUUCAAUUAUCACAAGCCGCAUCACAUGCUUAUCCUGGUCAGAUGCAUUUUAUCUGAGUAGACAGCAUGGUUCCAUUACACAGGCAGUCUGGCCUGAAAAUGCCUGGGUAAAUAGUAAAUGCAUCCCGCUCUGACAUGCGGAUUAGCAGAACCAGGGAUUAAACCGCCAUCGGUCGACAUUUGACCGAUGGCGGUUUGCUUUUCAGUUAUAACGCGAGUUGUGUGCGUACACGCCAAGUACCACAUAGUCUAAUAAACCAUAUAUUUAAGAGAAGUCAGACACUUCGAGCCGUUGGACAUAUCUCCAAAAAUCUUUCCAAAGAAAGGUGAACUGUCCUUUUACAUUUAUUCUGCAUUUCCCAUUUGUCGUUGUUCUUUUGAUGUGUGACUCACAUUGAUGUGAUUAUGCAUGAAUUCAGCUCAUAUCCAAUUUAAACUGUUGAACUGAAAACAAAAUACAUUUUGUGGCAAAGAGAUAAUUUUCUUUGCUGGAAAACUGACUGAAAGCACAGAAUAAACCGAAGCAACAUUUCUUUUAUAUUUUGUACUGCUGCAGGCUUUUCCCGCAGUACCGCCAUGGGCACACCAUGUUUGCAGCUGGUGUGGCCGGGAAGAGUAGCAGAAGAGAAGGAGCCAAGGGUCAGGCCGAGAGGUCAGGAGGAUGAGGGGAAGAGGAAGGCAGGGGAAGAGAAAAGUGAUAUGGGAGGAAGGGACCUGGAGCACUGACACAUUGAGAUGGAGAGGAGAAAGUGAAGGGAGGAUGAGGGCAGAAAGGUGACACGCUCAAACAGAGGGAGGGAGGGAAGGAAGGAGGGAAAGAUGGAUAAAUGGACGAGGGGAGUAAGGGAUGCUGCUGAUCCACCGGUUUGACCUUGCAGACAGUCUGCGUCCCAACUCGGGUGUGUACAUGCGAGACCGCUCACAUGUACACACAUUCUCCCGCACGAGCGAGCUUUGCUUUAUUUGCCAAGCGGGGUCGGGUCAGCACGGACGCACACAGACACAAGCCUAUCUGGUGCACAGCGAGAAAUCUCUCGUCUUUCUAAUCUCAACUGCAAUCAACAAAUAGAUGAGCAAACAUCCUGUUUGCAGGAUGUUUGGUCGAAGCGUAUAUGAAAGGGUUUAACAACGAAUCUCCUGUAAAACUACCACUCUCCAUGAUUGGCUGUAAGAGAUAGAAAAAAAAAUCUUCAUUGCUGGUCUGACUUCUCUGGCGACUCAUGCCUUUCAGGGAUCAUGGCAUUUCGAAUUUCCUAGUAUAUAUAUUUUAUUUUUCACGUUUCAAUUCCUUGCCUUGAGUUUUGAGGAGCAACUGUGCACCUCGUCAGACUGGAGCUACAGCUCACCGUCUAAAAAAUUCAUUUUUCUUUGUUUGUCCGGCAGUGCUUCUGCAUUCUUGGUGCAAAGGCAACAUUUAUACUUUUUCCACAUGGAUCAAUGCAAUCCCACCUAAAACGUUAUGGGUAUGUUUGAACUCUAAUAUCAAUAACGCCAAUAACUCUGUAACUUUCGGGAUGUAGACCUUGAGACUGGGCGGAUAGCUUUUCCAAGUGAUUUUCAGCAAUAACAAUACAUUCAUUCUGAAUAUGUCCACAUUAUCAAAUCCACAGUACAGAUAUAUUUACUAUAUUUGAAUUGCAGCUAAUGUAAUGACUUCUGCAUCUGUAUGUCUCUACGCUCUCAGGUUUCAGGUAGAGUCUCGCUUUAAAGCCCAACAGGAAAUAUUUGCCAGGGUUAAAUAAUCAUUGUAUCACUUACAAACAUCACUGCCUUUGUCCAAACGUGUAAUUAUUCUGGAGAAGUUCACCCUGUAAAAUCACCUUUGAUAAAUUAAAAGAUUAGAUUCAGAAAUGGUUGAGUUAAUGUUGGACUAAUAUUAUUUGUGAUAAUGAUGAUGAAAUAAUAAUAAAAACAUGGUGAUGAAGUCUUGUCUGUACCAAACUUGCAUGAAGUAAAUCUUAUGAUGCAUUUUUAUGCUGAAAUCGAACAGCCAAACCUCGUAUUCGAAAUUCACAGAAAAGCAACCUCCAGGCAUGUUACUGUCUGUGUGGUGCCUUAUAUUUGAGCAGGAUUUGAGAUAAAAGGGGAUUCCUGCAUCUCCCCUUUUUAUUCUUUAAUAGAGGAGAUAAGAAUUCCUGCAAAAACGAAAUGCAAUUCUAUGGUUGUGGUAAACUUAUAAUUAUUUCAAAACUGACAUUAAAGUAAUCACCUAGUCUUCCUAAAGUUUACUGAGACACUGCUGCUGUCAGUUCCUGGACUAAACGCUUGGCAGUCUACCUCCAAAAAUGUCGGUGAUUGUUGCAAACUGUUGUAUCUGCAGCGGUUUUAGUCUCAGAACAUUGCCCAUGCAUCAAGGCCACUGCUGCGGUGCAACAUAUCGACCAUGGUUUGAUUAAUGACGGUGGACGAUCUCUGCAAUCAUCUCUCAUCCUGUGGUAAUCAGCCUCACUCACUCGCCCAUCUGUCUGCUCUACUCUCAAAUCACACCAUCUACCUGCCAACCGGUCUGCAACCAGAGGCUGCUAAUGAUCUGAUUCUGUUUCGUGGUGUAAAAAUAGUUAAAUACAUAAUUAUCACCAUCGCUCAUAAUGGCUCCAAUAACUGACUCUCAUUGGGGUGGAGGGGCGUUGUUGAAGGAGGAUGAUGGUUCGGCCUGAUUUGAAGGCAGAAUGUUGUUAGUCCAAAAGCUACACAAUCAUCCCGUCUUAACACUUCCUGCAUGGCAAUUGGAUGGUUGCCAAACACUGCGCCGGCUCUUUAUUUGCACUCAAUUUAGAUGGUGUGGCGCCAGACUGCGGGUCUGUGUAUGUGUACUGUGUCUCCAGCCUCUUCUUUCUCCCUUAUCGCUCACUUGUUUGCUCCUUUUCUGUUUUACUCUCCCCAUUUCCUUUUGCUCUUCUUCCAUUCGUCUGUCUUCAGCCUUCAAUUUCCCAAUUUUCAUCAAUUGGUGGUUUUGCUCAUGUUUUCCUCUUUUGUCCUCUAAAACCCUCUUUGUCCCUCAUGUCAUCUCUUUCUUCUGUCUCCUAACUCAUGGUUUUACGGUUUCACUUGACAACCUUCCCUUGUCAUUGUUCUUUUUAGGUUGGAGGGUCAUGGACUUCAAUGUGCUUUAAGAGAGCCAGGUUCUCGCUGGAGAGGCUGUUUCGUCUGGUUUCCACACACCGGGGCUGACAGCGGCCAGCUCACGACAUGCUCAUUAUUUGCCACACAGCCAGUGUGGACUUUCCACACUCACACAGACACACAAAAGAUAAAGGUAUUUAGCUUCACUAUGACAUGACUGACUCAUUAAAAUCCGGAAACUCGGAACGGCGGAUCCGUCAGUAGUUCAUCCACAGGUAGGAUGAAAAUAAAUAUCUAGCUUAUUGCGCAGGCAGCGGUGCAGUUUCAUUUUGUUUUACUUGUAAGCUGUGUGGUCUGCAAUAGUUAGUUGCAAGUCUCUACUGAAAGCAUCAAAGAAAGCAUCUGUAAAGGUUGAGGCAACUAUCCGCUUGUUCUUCUGCUACUAAACCACCUUUGCAACAUAUCACAUCCUAAAUGUUAAAACUUGUCCGAUGAGCUCCAACCCCUUUUCUCUGUUGGCAGGGACUGAGCAGAAAGGCAUCUUUUUUUGUUCAGUUUGACAUUCUUAAUGCAGAGUUCACAGGGUUGGGAAGACAAAGCCCAAUGCUUACACUGGCACACUGGUGCUUAUUUCCUGCACAGCCCUUUGUCUUACUUUCACCUGGUUAAGGUCAUGAAAACAUUCAGAUUUUGUGGUUUUGUUAUAAUGGGUACAUAUAAAAAAUGACAUGCGUUGCCUGUUUCAACACGGAUUGAAAAUCCAGACCACAUAAUACAUUAAAUUCUGUGAACACACCACCGUUCCAUCCGAGACUGUACGCUGUUGUUCUUAAUAAGAAGAAAGCCGCCUACGGGUCUGGGGACAGGGAGGAGCUCAGGAGAGCACUGAUGACGCCAUGUCCACCCUUUCGCGCCCUCUCUGUGACGACUGGCCAGAAAAGGAGACAACUGGAGAGACUCCACCGGUCUGCAGGACCUGAGGGCAUCGGCCUCAAGGUCCUGCAGACCUGCUUCCUGCAAGGUCCUGCAACACCUCUUCAACACAAGCCUGAAGCUGAAGGAAGUCCUGCUUCUGUGGAAGAUGUUAUUCCUGUUCCAUAUGGCCUCAAUGACUAUUGACCAGUUACCAUCACAUCUCAUCUGAUAAAGGUGCUGGACAGCCUGGUCUGAGCCACAACCCCUUCCCCCCACCCCGCUUGCGGGUGAAGUCCUCAAUGGAUUCUCUGAAAUUUACAUAUCAGCUUCAUGUGAUAGUUGACGACACCAUCAUCUUCCAGCUGCAACGUGCUUAGGUGCACCUGGAUGGAACCCGGUCGCUUUGUGAGAAUGACUUCCUUUGAUUUUUACUGUGGACUCAAGACCAACCAUUGCUGCUGAGUGAGAAUCUGCAGGUGGGCGGCGGUAAAUCGGGAUCACCGAUUUCCUGAAAGACAGACCACAGUUUGUCCGACUGGACAGCGUGCUGUCUGAUACGGUGGUCAAUGAUACUUGAGCUCCCACAGGGGAACUUCCCUGUUUUCCUUCCUGUUUACCUCGUACACCACUGACUUCCAGUACAGCUCUGAGUCAUGCCAUCUGCAGAGGUUCUCUGAAGACUCUGCGGGAGGAGUACGGGACAGUAGUGGACGACUUUAUGGAGUGGUCCGGUAGAAAUCACCAGCUUCUUUACGUCUCGAAAAGGAGAGAGAUGGUGGAUGACCACAAUCGCUGAGAGUUGCGGGAGAGAAUGUGGACAUGGUGGAGGGGUAAAAGUUCCUGAGUGUCUCAGGAAUCAGAAACAUUUAUUACCAAAAUAUCUCAGACAUACAAGGAAUUUGACUUGGCGGUUGGUGAGUAACAGCAGCCAACAGACUGAACUGGAUGACAUCGGCGCUGUGUACAAAGGGGAGGUGUACACUCUUCCUUGUUUCUUGGAUCCUUGUACGUGUGCAGGAAGAUGUUGGAUAUAUAUCAGCCUGUUGUGCCCGGUGCUCUCUGUAGUCUGAUGGGGAGCAGCAUUGGAGCCGAAGACAACGCAUUUAAUUUAAUCUGCAGAAGGCCGAGUCCAUCAUUGGCAUAAAGAAGUCUCAAAAAGGUUGUGGGGAAGAGAACACUGAAGUUACGACACUUUCUUGGACUGUAUAUAUAAAUGAUGAAAGGAUAUAAAUAUAUUUGUAUAGCACAUUUAAAAAGAAUGCAAUUUAAAGUGCUUCACAUGAAACCAUUAAAACAAUCCAAACAUCAGGCAAAAGAAAAAUACAUUAGAAAACAAUUAAGUAAAAACACUAAAACAAUAAACACGAUUAAAAGUUACAAUGCAGUUUAUGAACAGUGAAAGCAUCCACUUCAUCCUUGAAUCUGGUUUAAUUAAAGGCAGCAGCAAACAGAAAUGUCUACAGUCUUAAUUUUAAGCAGCUGAGUCUCCGCAGACUUGCAGCUUUCUUGGAUUUUGUCCCAGAUAAUGUGGAGCAGAGAAACAGAACACUGCUUCUCAAUGUUUGGUUCUGACCCAGGGAGCAGAAAGGAGACCCGUCCCAGAUGACCUGAGGCGUUUGGACCAGGGUUGUGGUGGUAGAUUUGGGUAAACUAUACAUUUUGUGAUCAGACAUACCUCGACGCAAUGCCACGCAACUCUGUAAAGCGGUCCUGGCUUUAUUCCAGCAUCUUUAUGUUCAAUUCAGUUUACAAUACGGGUGAAUGAAAUCCAGCGUUGUGAUUGGUUGAGAGUGAGUUGCACACUUUCACAUUAACCUGAGUUCCAGAUCAGUGCACAAUUAAAAUAACAGUUAGAUUUUGUGUGGCCGUUGUCUUUUCAAGCUUUGAUAUUUACGGAGGAAUGACUUUUGAUGGUUAGCCAAAGAGGAUAAAUCAGGUGGACAUCAUGCUACUAUAGAUGAGAAAGAAAUUGAGACCUAUGAAAUGUUGUGGAACGAAGAGAUGGCGAAAACAGUAGGCCUGAAGACCAUACCCAGAGAAGUAUCGUCAUCUUCCAACAUCCUAGCCUUCCGGAUCCCCAGAGCUGGCACUUUGGGAUUAAGCCAUGUUCUUAUUGACCAUUGCAGAGACAUUGGAAGGCAGCAGCAAAGCAGCCAAGCGUGGUGCGAGUCGUCAUUGAGGCGAGAAUAAACCUGGUCCUGAGGAGAUGGUGUGGUGGGUUUACGCCUUCGGGAGCAGGAUGGACAGAUGCCAGGCUUUGCUCCAGGAGCAGGAAUGCGGGAUAUCCCUUUUCUGUGUCCCUGUGGACUCUAAUUAGGGGCUUGCAACACGACAAACACGCGUUUGACCCUGAAGUAGAAUUGGGAGCAGAAUUAUGGGAGUUGCAUGGCCUCUGUGUGUCCCGCAAGUAUGGGGUGCAAAAAUAAAUAUAUACUACCGUACCAGUCAAAAGUCUGGACACAUUUUCACAUUCAAUUCAAUGACAAAGUGUGUCCAAUCUUUAGAACUGGUACUGUAUAUAAACCCCAAUUUAUCAUCAAUUGGGUGCCAAAUGUGAGAAUGUUACUUUAAGGUUUAUUUACACCUGUUCUCCAACAGAAUUGACUUAUCAGACCGGGGUCUCUGGUAAAUCUGUGGUGUUUUCAUUCAGUUUUCACACUGUCUGUACUGAAAGCUGGCGGGACCUUCAGUCCUUCAGUUGAGUAAUCUACCAUUUCCCAACCUCUCUGCCUCUCUCCCUUCAUGCUCCUCUGCCGCACCACCAGUGUGGACUCUGCCAUUUGAUAGUAGUCCAGUGAGCACAGCUCCAGCGAGUGGAGAAACUUCCCAGAACAAAGAGUAGAGCAGUGACCUGGCAUUCCAAUGCUGAGGAGCUCCUGCCAAGCUCACUGAUUGAAACCUCCCCUCAGCCUGCUCCCCCCUCUCCUCCCUCCAUCCUUCUUGCCCCCUACGCCACUGUCUCAGCCCUCCCGCCCUGCCACAGCCCCUCACUCCACUCCACCUGCCUGCUAAAGGGACACACAGAGAGGUGUGGAGAGCCACUGACCGUGAGAGAGAAGCAGAGUAGGCCCGGUCACGAUCAGAAUGCGAGCGGCGCUUGACUCUCGCCGGCACAAACACAAACCUGUCUGCUGGAGAGUUUGGCACACAUUGACCUGACCCCAUGGUCCAAGGUUCACGUGCUCUGUGACAAAGUUUUCCUUCACCUCCUAAGUGCAUUGCAGAAUAUCAAUGGAUAAAGAAAGCUGUGCCUUCAGACUCCCACUUUUGGGUCACAGUGGAGAAAAUGAUACAUGCACUUCCUAAUAGUACGGCGCUGUUACCUCCUCUGUAACAAUGAUAUUGUAACUGAAAUCCACAGGAAGGCCAUUUUAUAGCACACAAUGGACGUCGUUUAUAUCUGGCAUCUAAAAGUACAACAUAUUCACAAGAGCAGAAGGGCCUCGGUCAAAUUUAAUACAGCUGUUUUUUUUUACUGUUUCUGAGUGCGAGUUUCUCACAGAGCGCUGCUAAUACAGUAUGUAUGAAAGUCAGUCGUACCAUUUGUUGCAGAUUCCAAUUGCAAAGGUGUUUGACACAUUCGGGUCCAACAACAAUGGGAAAGAUUCCACUUCAGAAUACACAACAUUGCAAUUUGUCCAGUCCCAUUUUGAAAUGCAUAACUUUGAUACAGGACAAUUCAUUUGAAUAAUCUGGCACAAGGUAAAAAUUGAAUGACAACAAACCAGAACCCGACCUGAACCCUGAAACAUUGUUGUGGCUUGCAGGAACCACUGCAAACAACAACAUUUCCCCUCGGUAGUAGCUUCUAAAAUUGUUGUUCACAAUAAGUGUACCAGGUCAAUUGUGCUGCAAAGAUCUAAAAAGGUGUAAGAACGGUAAGAAGGUACAGAGCGUUCUCACUCAACUUCAAACCAUCAUUUUUUGGCACAAAUAAAAGUAUAAUUUGAAUAUUUUUCACAGUUUCACGUUCAGCCAUCAGAGGUAAAAGAUGUAGACAUGUGCAUCCGGUAAACACACACAAACAAUAAAUGUUACAGUUCGUACGUACCAAUCUUCCCUAUAAACUUGUCCCUAUAAAUGUUCUUGUUGAGCCGAUUGUUUUCAUCUCUGUUGCAGUCAGAUGGAAAGAGAUUCUCCCUUUAAUUAUAAAAACAGCCUCUUCCGGAGAGGUGGCACUGCUCUCUUUCACUGGAGAGGAAGUGCAGCAUAUGGACACUCUACACACGCCACAAUACCUGGUGCAAAUGUGUGUGGGUGUUUCUUCAGUCUAAGAAACUAAACAGUUUAAGACCAUCUGCCUUGUUAAUGUGGGAGCAUGGUGCCAGUGGAUGCUUUGAUAGCAACCUUUGAAACUAUGGACAUCUGUGUGUGGUGUGGUGUCUGUCUCUUUCUUUAUGUGUGUGUGUGUGUGUGUGUGUGUGUGUGUGUGGGGUUCGAAGAGAUGGCUCCAUCUGUUUGUAUUGUUUCUCUUCUUGAUUGCUCUACUUCCAGCAAACUUGUAUUCUGGGACUGUUUUGAACACACACCCACACAUGCUGCAUACCUGCAGGGAAGCAUGGGCAGGGAACACACCGGAUACACACACAGGAUACACAAUGAGAACUGAGUGACAUAUCCUAGUGAGUACAGUAUGAGCGCAGAUGUGGGUUUGGGAAAAAGGGUACAAUUAGAAAACGUAGGAAAGGCCAGUGACUGUUCUUUUUCCAGUCUUUGUCUCUUCUCCUAACGGCUGAUAACUUGCAGAAGAUUAAGCAGGUUGUUCACAGGCCAAAUGUUUGACAAUGUGGCUUCAUUCUUUGUGGAUAAAUUGUUGCUUAAUCUUCAAGCGGGAUUCCAAAUGUUCCAUUUACUAAUUUAAUCUUUCACAUUUGCUCUGCUGUUGCCUGCGAGUGUGUGUGUGUGUGUGUGUGUGUGUGUUGUGCGUCAUGUCCUGUGAUGUCCGUGCGUGCCUGUGUGCAGUGGCCCGGUGUCUGGCUCCUGGGAUCUGUGAGACAUAAGGCAGAGACAGGGGCAAGAGGUUAACAAACACACACACACACACACAUUUGUACACACACUGAAACACUCAAGAGAUACAAGACACGUGCAUUUAAUACCUCGUCCUUUAACAUUUGUUCGUCCCUAAAAUGAACUAAUAGAAACACUGGAUACGUAGAAAAGCCGUACAGAAGUCCAAGUAAAGCAUUUCUCAUUUCUGUUUCAAUGCUGGAAACGUACACACACGUCCCCAGUGAGCGCACGUAUUGCGCACACGUACAGCCACGUGCAUCACAAACCCCGGCACAUGUUUCGACCCCGGUGCCAGCGCUGCACUGCGCGGCUGGGGUGCCAGCAGGGACUUUGUUCUGUCUCUGUUGAUAUUAUUCAAAAGAAUAAAGCUUUUUUUUUUUUUUUUUUUUGUCUCCCAGUAAAUUGAAAUUCAAAACAAAAUGCUGAUUAAGAGCUGCGAGACCUCCCCGGAGGAAAGAGCACUGGCAUUUAACAUGCGUGUCCCGUGUUCAGCCCCGGUCCGUUCUCAAAACGCACACACAGCCAAAGCAAUCUCCCCGAGAGCAGCGCGGCAAAUUUCUAGCGGUUGGAGCCCCGAUGUGCAAAGUCAAAUGAAGGCUUCAUGGUUUAUCAAAGCAGCUGCAGAGUUUAUUCGACUAACAAACACACAGGCGGCCCAAUAACACUGGCAGUGGAUAUUUCCUCCGACGCAUAUACAAAAGAACCCGAAAGCUGCUCCGUGUCCACACAGAGGUGAGUGCAUCUUGUGCAUUGCACAAGAUAUGAGACCUAAUAUGGAGAUAAGGAUUCAAGUGGCAUGAAAAGACACGCACAUCCACAUAUUUGCCCUUUCAGACGGCAGCUUUAGCGUUAAACUGCUGGAAUGAGGGACUGUGUUGGACUGGGGACAUUUGGGUAAACAGUGGGAUGUGACUGCGCCACGCAAUGUAGCCAUGUUAAUCCUCUCAGGGGUCAGGGGUCAGCACUUUUAAAAGGCUUGUUUGUGCGGAACAAUGAGACAGUCACUAGACCAGGAUCGCUGGGAGCUGAGGGCAUACGUGAUGAUCCUGUGAUCAAGUGAAGGCACGGAAAUCACUGUUUAAUGAGGAAAUGUGUGAGAGCUAAAGGGAUUUUUCUCGCCGUGCAUCUGGAGCUGUAAUCUCCUUUGCAUGACUUUGCCAAUUUACCAAACGGUAGUUACUGACUGAUCUUUUUUUUUCAGAUUUUGGCUUUUGGUCAAAUAACAGAUCUGAAUAGCUGAAAAACCCAAACAGAAAAACCUUUGACUGACUUUAUUUGUCAAAUGAAGAACUCUGCAGUAAACAUUUUGCAUGCUGAGUAUUUUUGCUUUGACAGCCGCUUACACAUCCAACCAUUUCCUCAUUGUGUUGAUUAAGAAAAGCGUAUCCUUUACAUUUCAGAGCGCUAACAUGUGUUCUUAAACAGCGUAGUGUUAAACACUGAAACACGCUCGGUAACCGUUACCUAUCUCCGGCUCUUUGUGCCACUGCAGGAGUUUAUUCUUUGCCUAUUUAUUUGAUGUUGAUGAAAGAGUGGAUCAAGUCCAAUCGCAUCAAUCACAUCAAAGACCUGCUGUGUAACGCGAGGAAUGGCACACAUGAUGCUCAUACGCGCACGCACACAUAAAUGUGCUGGCGCACAGUCUGGUAAAACCUUUAUAGUUUGAUCAGCGUCCUUAUCUUGAAAGAAAGUAAUUUACCCCCUUUUUCAGAGGAAUGUGAAAUCUAGUGGAGACAGUGCGCGUGUCUCUGUGCUCGGCCAGCGUCCUCCACGACGCCGCCGAAGGCAGCUUGUAUUCACUGAGGAAACAGAGUAUGGCUUUAUAGUAUUUAUACGCCACCGCUUGCCUCUAUCUCGGGGUCAGAGCAACGCUGUCCACCUCCAUGAAGCGCCGCACGCCCACGUCGCCCCUUUCUCCAUCCCGGCCUGCUCCCCCACUCACUGUGGAUGGAAAGAACUCCACAGAGAGCCCUGUUAAUUUCCCACAGGUCAGCUGAUGCCUCCUCCCCACCAUCACAGGACACAUGUCCACGGCCGGCCCUCCGCCGCCGAGCGAGCAGACCUCCAAGUGUCUGUGUGUGUGUGUGUGUGUGUGUGUGUGUGUGUGUGCGUGUGUGUGGGACGUGACGGCCGUGACGAACAUGAUACAUCUCAUCACAUGCUUCUCCUUAGCGGAUUAACAGGCGGGCUUCCAGCUGCAUUUAUGCCAAUGCUCCUGUGGGGACUGGCUUUGUGCAGGCAACGGGAAAAUUCAAUCACCGCCUGAAGGACAGAAACGGGCGGGUUGAAACGCUGCUUUGGUUCAAUUUCCGUGUUAACCUUUUUUUCAAAGCUGUAAAUGAGGAAAGUGAGCUGGAGUGCAACUUCUCAAUCUGUCCCGCCUGUGUUUCUGACUUUGUCGGAAUCCAGGUUACGGCAGGAUGGAUUUAGGAAAUGGAUCAUGAGACACACCUCUAAUGACCGAUCUCAUGAUAAACUAGCUUCUAAAGUUUAUAUAGGUUUAAAUCACGUCAACUGUGUUGCUUAGAAAUCAUGGUAUGUGAGAGAGAUCUCAUCGCCAGACAAGACAAUCUCCACCACAUUCUUCAGUCAGCUUUGUGACAAAAUCAAUCUCAAAAGCACGUAUAUGGACAUUAAUCAAUUAUUGUUUUUAUUAUGUUACAUUUUUCAUAAGAAAUUCUCUCAUCAGUUUGCAUUUUUUGAUCACAUCAUUUGAAUAGAUAAUAGAUAUUCCCUCACUAUUUGCACCACUUUGAGCAUCGAUGAAAAUAUGAUUAAGGAUGGUUUCACAUUUUUUAGUAUUUUGAAUGAAGCACUCGCGCAUGUUGAAAAAUAAGCCGAACUACGCAACAUAACCGCACCUUGACCUUCGCUGGCAGCGCUCAAAUGAAUUUGAAAGUUUUAAGCGCGUGACAAAGCUGCAUGUGACUUAGAAUUUCCAACUUUGUGCCAGAGCACAUUGGUGCCUUUGAUACACUAUACUAGACAUCUGUUCAUGCAUUCAUGCCUCAGAAGAUAUUACAGCCCUGAUAGGUAUCUCCUAAAAACAUCUGCUGAGAAGAACACCCCGGUCCCAGGCUACAUAACACAAUUGUCAAAUACACUCGAGUAUAGUUCGCCAAGCUUGCCAACUUGUGAAAGGAAGAUCCGGACAUCUUAAUUCGAUCACAAUAUUACCUACAGCAGCGUGAGCGGGAUGAAGGCUGCUGUCAGGAAGCGCAGUCUCCAGACACCUCAUCAGCAGUGUGUUCAUUAUAUUCAUCCUCACUCACGUUUCCUCCCCUUUCUGUUUGGUUUGAUCCCUGUGGUAUUUAUAAAAACAGAUCCAUACUUCUGCAGGUGUGUUUGACAGUUGCGUUGACCGAACCGGAGGCGGCGGCGGCGGCAUCUCGGAUGACAGCCGUUUACACGUGUUGGAUAUUAAGGCAACACCUGUCAACAUUUCAAUUAUCCCCUUCAUUAAAUGCGCUCCACUCAAAUCCAGUGAGGCACAGGUGGCCUUUUUACAACACGCCGGUUUGCGUAAGUAUUGCGAAGAAUUCUUUAUGACGCCUGCAACCUAAACUGUGCUAUCGGGAACUUUACCUGGGACUUUGCCCCCACCUCCGGCAUGCAGUUGUCUGAGGCAUUGUCACUCAUACAUCCCUGAGUGCCAAUGAAGGAGUAACGCAUGUGUGUGGACUUGACUGCGAAUAUGCGCAUGAAUGCUCUGGUGCACGUGUGCCUCUGUGAGUGUUUGUGAGACUCCGGGAGGAACCGGCGGUGAGAGGGAUGGAAAGAACGAGGGAGCAGCAGGGAGAGGAGAGGAGAGGUAAGCUAAAGCUGCAUGACGAGUGCGUCGGGGCACAGGGCCCCCGACCUGGAGCCACCGCCCCGAGCACAGGUACACCGCGUCCAAGCAGACGCCGAGGGACAGAGGACAGAUUUCCUCAUGGAGAGGGACGCCUGAAUACACAUCGAUACACACUCACAGCGUGCACAAAGACAGUGGGAGAUGGAGGGGGCAGUUUUGCAUCUUCUUUUCUUCUACGCCUUGAAAUGUUAAAAAAAGUUGACUUGCAGUCCUAAGCAGAAUGCACAGUGCGUACGAGGUGACUGGGGGGUACAUCAGUACAUUCGCAAGUUGCUUUUCCUUCACCGAGGCAGCAGGGAAAGAAAAAAGAUUAGCAACAAACAUCCAUGUUGGGGCAAGAAUAAUGCAAACGAUAACUGGUGCUUGCUGUAAUCCCCAAUGUAGUGCAAUGCGAGUGAAGCUUGUCUGAUUGACAUAUUUAAUACAUGCCCUGUGAUGAUUCUGUUUGCAUUGGGAGUAAAAAAAAAAGGAUAAUGCUCACAAACAGAUAAAGCCGCCGCGGAAGUCGUGCAUAAAGUGCUGUGAAUGAUAAUUACCAAGAGAAAAUUAGAGGGGGGGGGGGAUCUAAUUAUACAUUCCUUUCCUUCAAAGUAAAGAAUAAUAAUAAAUAAAAGAUUGUGUAGUGGGGAUAGACAAUAGAUGUGAUUGACAAGGAGAUGAAACAGUUCCAGGGCGUCAAAAUGAACAUAUUUCAAUGUGACACGGUGUUCUCAAGGAGAGCGUCGUUGAAGAACAGUGCCGACAGCUAUCACAGAAAACGUCUCGUGUAAAGUCAAAUCUUACACUUCUAAUGUGUUGUCGUCUACCCACAGGGAGGGGGCGAAGAGGAGGGAAAGAGGUAGAAAAAAACUAAAAAAAAACAUUUUUGAAGGAUUGUGACCAAUCUUGAGUUUCUGAUUGGCAAGUGUUGUCCCUCGGGGUUAGUUUGGAAUUGUGAGGGCGGAACAACCGUCAAGAUACCUAAGUGGGAUUCCUACAAUUGAUGGCGAGACAGUUCUAUUACUGACGUGUCAUACUUUUCUGAACCUGUCUGAGCCUGUGAGAGGAUGUUGGUGACAGAGAUGAAUUCAGGUCCCAAACGGUUGGCUAAUGUUGUAUACAGAAACAACCUAUUGAUUUCAGCUUUCAGCUUAUUUAGGGUGUUGGGUACAAUUUUAGAGCAAGGAGAUGCUCGCCUAGCAACACAAACACACACACACACACACACACACACACACACACACACACACACACACACACACACAGUAGGAUGGAGGCGUCAUUCUUCAUUCUGCAGCAAAUUGUUUCAAAGUAAAUAGUUGUUUGCAGCUAUAAUUAAUUUUUUGAAUCCUGCCUUCCGCUGUUUUCGAUCUUUGAACAAAAACUUUCUCAUUUACAAUGUCAGUCUUAAUUCCGAAUAAGGUCACAUGACAAAACUAGAAAAACUAUCGGAAGGAAAGACGUUACUUAAUGAGCUUCAGCGGCGUUGAUAUCAAAAUGGUCAGAAUUGAACAUGUUCGCAGACCAAAUGGACGAGGAUGGCGGGUUUGAGAGACAGGCCCCCGAGGCCUCUGGAGGUCAGUAACUAAAAGGUUAUGGCAGAUAGGAUAUGUCAGUGCUGUGACUGCUAAUAAGUAAAUACUCUAUCUGUUUGAUCUCCAAUUGGGGUCAGGGGUUUCGUCUGAGGUUAACCCUAAGAGGUCAUUAGGUUACAAUCGUUAUUUUUUUGCUUCAGCUCACAGACAUUCAUCCAAUCAUUGCAUUGUGCCCAGUAGAGCGGGGGCCAUUCAGCUUUUGACACAAAUCAACAUGACGAAGAAAAGCAGCCGGGCUGCUAAACGGGGCGACCGGACGACCCAGAGUGCCGAGCUCAGACGUGAGCGGCUGUCUCACCGCUUUGACUAACCGGACGGGACAGAGCGGAAUGCUUCUCGUGCCAAUCAAUGAUAUUUUUAUUGACCAGAGAAAAUAGCUUUGUCAAUGCACUCUCUCUGAUUAACUAACCUCAACAUUGAUAGUAUGAGCGAUUGACGGCGAGCAUCGGAGUGCUCGUCAGAAGGGCCUGGGGGGGGAGAGGUGUCCCGGUCUCCUGGACACUGGGGUGCUGUUAACAUUGCAGCAGGAGGAUAAAAUACUUGACAAAGCCUGCUGAACACAAGGCACGGAGAGUGAGCUUUAAACUCCCAGAACCGUAUGAAAAUAAGCUUUUGGACUGUCUGCUGCAUUUGCCUUUUUAUGUCGGUAUUCUUUUGUGCCUCUAUGAUGAAAUCAAAGAUGUGUUUUAUCAUUGUGUGGGCUGGAUGUUUUUCUCUGCAGAUGCUCUAAUCAGCUUUAAUGGCAGUGUCAGCUUGUGAUUUAAAACAGAAAAAGAAAACUCUGCGUGCUUGUUGACAAGAGGGUUUUUAUUUGCAGCUAAAUAAUUUGUAGGAAUCCGAGGUAUAAAAUCUUUUAAAGUUGUUGAAAAAAGAAAUGAUUGGGUCCAACGGUGUUGUCCUGUUGAUGACCUCUUGAGAAAGCACAAACCUGCCUCCAUCAAAUAACAAGAACCCUUCUCUUGUGUAUUUGUCCUAGAACAUUUUGCAAUAUAUACAACACAAAACUAAAGAUACUUAAGAUACUUAAAAAGAAAAACAUCUGAAACUAUUACUUUAUGAGCUGCGCUCUACGUUGGGAAAUGCGAGACUUUGCUCUCCAAACUAGAUACGUUUCCCUAAAAUAACGUUGUCUCCGGACUGAGAGCUCACAUGACAAACACGGGAAUGCACGGGUGACAACACCCCAGCGUGCUGCAGAGAGGGACCUGAUAAUGCCGCUUCAUGAGGUUCGUGAGCAUUUAAUGACCAAUUCAACAGGAAGAAUGUUCCUGUCUAAAGCCAGCUUGGCCGUCUUUGCUUUUAACCACGUCUGCGUGGAAGUUUGGCCUACAAUCCUAAAGUUGCAUUGUAAUACGUCAGGAAAUGCAGUCGGUCAACCGGCCCUUAAUUCAUUUUGGCAGACAUUAUACGUUGCAGGCUUCUAAUUUAACUGCUGUCUAUUCAAGCUCGACACGCUUGUUCACAGCGGAGCCUCGUUUAGAUAUUUCUUGCUUUGUUUCUUAAUGUUCAACCGCCUCCAUCAUGACUGACACACGCAUGUAGCAACAGCUUUUAAACCAAUGGAACAUCAGCCCGGACUUGGCUCGUAGCACUCGGCAGCCAAAUUGCUACAUCAGCUUAGUUGAAUUUAAAAAAUAUUUAUAGUUGUUUACUUCAUAUCGGACUACGUGCUUAUGAUAUUAACCGCGACGCUGUGAUAUUUCUCCUGCCUCGGCGUAAAAUCGAUAUGUUCUGAAUAAACCUGAGUGGCGUCUCGGCCCGGGCGGCGGUUUGUUGCGACGCCGUUGAGUCGGAGUGAGUGAGUGUUUAAAAAGGUCUGAUGGAGAGCCAUUCAUCCAGACAUUCUAGACAACUUGCUGAUAGGGAAUAUAACGUCUCGAUGGCUUGUUAUCGACUGUUAUGGUGUUUCAUCGUUUAGUUUGAUCAGUGAAAUCAAAUUCUGGCCCCCGGCCAGGCUGCCAUUACCCACCGAGUUACGGCGAGGGGGCCGAAGGGGGCCGAGGAGACUCUCAGGUCGGCGUAGGCACGUCUGCCUGUGUGAUGUGAAACAGAGGGAAAAAAGAUGGCAUUAAUGUCCAUUUGUUAUCUCUCUGCUCGGGUGGAGACAUCGGCUGGGAGCCUAUGAAGUCAGCAGUGUGCAGCCGGGGACGGGGCGCAGAGGACAAGGCGGUGCCUGGCUAGAUCCCUUAAAGAUGUUAUUAAUGGCCAUGGGCACACACGCACACGCACAUGCACACGCACACGCGCACUCUCUCUGUUUGCAAUGCAUAACUCAGUAGUAAGCCUCUUUCUGUGUCCUGUCCCGAGAGAUGAUGAGCAGAAAGCAGAACAGGGUGACUUGAUAAUCCUGCUGUAUUUAUACUCCACCCUGCUGACUUUUGCACUUCCCACCCUUCUCGGUUCCUUCUCUCUUUCCAUUUCUUCUUCAUUACCUACAUAUUCGAUCCUAUCUGGCUUUAUUUUUCUUCCUUUUUCUUUUGCCUAACCGUCUUUCUUAUAUUGUAUUUCACAUCAGUUUUUUUUUGUUUUUUUUAUUAUUCCUUCAGGGUGCUUUAAACUUUCCCCAUUUCCUCUAUUUCCAUUGCGUUCUUCCAGGGGAUAUCAUUCUUUUUUUUCAUUGCAUCUCCUACUUUUCUUUUAAAGUUAUAAUCAAAGAUCAGAGAGCAAAUGUGCCCAACCACUUUCCUUUCUUCUGCAUUCCUCACAAACACCAGAUCUUACCAUCAAUUUAACUACGCACUUUCUCUUUGCUAUUCACUCCUUUUACUAUGGUUUCUGUUUUCUUUCCACUUACAAGGCAUUUCUUGUAUGUAUGUAGCCGUGUACCAACAUCAACAGGACCAAUAAAACACAUAGAAGACAAGUAGUCAUUCAAAAACAAACACAGGCAAAAAGAGAAAGAUGGGGAAGGUGAAAGAGUCUGAAAGCUGGGGGGGGGGGGGUCCUCUUCUCAGACUCUGUGCCAGAGGUGAGGGGGGGCAGAUGGAUUAGCAAAUGUCAAUGUGAAAAAAACAAAAUGGGAAAACGCAAACCGUUUGUCAGCUAUGGUUAGUGUUGUUUCCUUAUGCCUGAGGAGUUUUUAUACAUUACUGCAAAAGGAAGCUCUGAGGCAAACUUUUAACACCUAGAAAAAACAACUGCAAGGUAUUCUCACCAUACACGACCAAAAGAAUAAAAACCCAGAGUACAAUUCUACCCAAAUCAACAACAGUGAUUCACUUUUGUUUCUCUGUUUUGUUUCACUCCCACUUUGAAAUUUGUGAUAUCAGCUGCUUCUGGAUAUUUUACUGCUUUCUUUUUAUCAUUGCCUACAGUUUUAUUUCGUGAAUCAUUUCUCUAUGCCCCUUAUAUCGCCCCUGGAACUCAAGAAAGCCUGAGGUGCUUCCAUGAUUGUAAUGACUGCAAUACCAUUUGUUUUAAUAGCUUCCACCAAUGUACUCUGUUAAUGCAAAAAAACAAGUUUAACUAAUUCCUCCUAUUAUGUGGUUAAGUGUCGGCUUUUAAAGUGGCUGAAUUCCAAAGCGCUGCAGGGUCGGUGCUUUCGUUACAACUCUGAGAAUAUUAACACUGAUGUUAAACUGAUGUGCUGGCUCAGCCGCCACAGAUAAAACUGUGUGGCACAGUAAAGCUGCCGCAGCUUCCGUGGCAUUUUUUUUCUUGUGAUCAAGAAACAACGUUAAGAAAAUAUUUUUACAAAAAAAGUAUGAUUAUACCAUAAUUAUAAUUAAUUAUACCAUAAAUGUCCAUGUUGGGAUCACUGCUCUGUCCACAGGCUCCACUACGGCAUCUAUGCGCGUGCUCCUACCACUCGCACAGUUUCGCAGUCUAAAAGUUUGAUAACCUCAACUGUCUUGCAUGAAAAACGUCCUCCAGUUCCGUCGCUGACAGUCAUUAUUCAUUAACAAAUGAAUAUGCUGGUAUUAGUGUGAAAGAGAAAUAUGCACCAAUGGCACGAUAGACAUUACUCUUUGUCUUUUAUCAUAUUUUAUGAUCUCAUUUUCUGCCUUAUUGAUUUCUCAUUUCACUCCCUCUCUUAAAGUCUCUCACGCCGUCUUCCCCAUCCUUCCUCCACUGAUAUGCCACACAGAGGCGCAGACGACUUUGACAGCUUGUAAACCAAGAUAAGGAGGCUGAAAGCACAGCUCACUUUGACAUAUAUAAGCUCAUCUUUACAACUACUUCAUACAAUCUUUGCCCUUUAACUCUUUUUCUUUAUUUCGUCUCCUCGCGUGCCUGGAUGCCAACUUUUACAUGUCGAGUUUUGACAUAAAGAGGUCACGGGGGUCAAUUGCGCAGCAAUUUGGCGUGUGUGUGUGUGUGUGUGUGUGUGUGUGUUGUAAGGUUUGUGUUUAAAGGCGGACAUGCUGCUGUCAUAAACGUUACAGGCGACACAAAAUGCUCUGUGAAUCCCAGAACCUUCUCACUCAACUAUUUUAUUGGAAACGCCACGGUUCGGUUUGCACUUUUCUCAUCUGAGUGUGUCCAAGGGAGAGAAGGAAAUUGACACAUCUGCAGAGUACGAGCACUUAAGCUCGGGCAUCGGCAGUGGAGGGGGCGCGGCCUUCUCUCGUUAACUUAAAAUGAAACACUCCCCCAGUCAAUAGCCCCGGGCUGUAAACCCCCCCCCCUGCAUCACGACUCUGGAGCUGUGUGCCUCCAAACUUUCCCUCUAAACACAUGUAUUCAUACGCCCUGAUGAUUCAUACUCGUCUUCUAAAAAUCUGCACGAUCCUCCACCGGUCCGCUCUACGUAAUGUUUUAUUGUACCGCGGUGUAUCACGAUAGCAUCUUUAAUUUGGAGUGAUGCAUGCGAAUGAAUAUGUAAGGAAUAAACAAUUCCUGGGUAUCAUCCACAUGGAUCAGUCUCUUUGCCGUGAGGCUGGAAGGAAAGGAGAAUAGGGAAGACAAUCAGGGGAAUAGACAAUUGGAGUGGUGUUAAAGGGAAGAGGGAUGAGAGGAAUUGUUGUUGUAGAAAAGGUAUGUAGGAGGAUAGGAAAAGUCAUGGAGGGAACAAAGGGAGUGCAGAAGGAAAUGAGGCCAUGGAGAAGGAUCGAGGCCGGAGUUUGGAGAGUUCUUCUUCCAGAUAAUACCUCACAUGGAAAAUCUCAAUCUGAAAUUUGUCAAACGCUCCCAUUAAAGUCCUAUGAGCAAAUAUAUCUCCUAUCGUGUAGUCUAUCAGGCCAGCGGAUUAAUUAGAAUGAAUGACAGCUCCACCCGUCUCCCAGAUGUUGGAGUAUAUCAACGUGUCCAUGCUCCGCCUCCUCCGACUCAGCCUAAUUGAAAAUGAAUAAAUAUAUUUUCUUCCGAGUUAAUCUAAUGUGAUUUAAGAGAUUAAUCUUGUGGGCGUCAGACGGACGCUGCGGCGAUCUACAUCACACUGCCACCCCGAACACCACCGGUGGUGUGGACACGUGAAACAUCCAGCUCACUAAGACCGGAGCGCUCACUGAGAACGUUUACAACCUAUAACAGCCAAAACACUGGUGAGGUUUCAAUAAAAUGUCUUGAAUAUAAAUAGUUAGCAAAAGAAAUGAGGAUUAUUGUAGGGCAGGCAAAGGGCCGCAUAGUGUCAACAUCCCUCUAUCAACGUAUGUGAACCACCUAAUGCAGCGCACUCCUUAAACAGAUGCUAAUCACUUUCAUCAGAUAAGAGACCGCGCUUUAUGAAGUUUAAUAUAUGGAGACACACACGUUCACAUGCAGUCGUGCUGAGUGAUGCAGCGAGGCCGGCUGAUUAAUAAGUCGGGAUGCGAUGCAAUCUCCGUCUUUAUUAAGAUGUUGAAAGACACAAGACGCUAAGCCACACACACACACACACACACACACACAGAGUCACACAUACAGUAGAGCCUGACACGGGGAAUGUGCUUCAUGAAUGACCACACGCAAACACCACAAUAUAGAAAGGUGAUUGGAUUUAAGGACUGUGGAAACAUCCAAUGACACAAGGAGAGUGUGCGAGUGUAAAUGUGCAAACGUGUCUUUACACAAUCAGCAGGAGUAAUUGCACAAGAGGUGGUGUGUUAAGAGUUGUGGAGCAUGAGGGAGAAGGAUCUUUUUUGGCCAAAGAAUAAUGGCCAAAAUGAGUGCAGAUGGAGGAGGCAGAUGGUUUCAUUUGUGAUGGGUAGCCCUGGGCUGCCAGGGUGCUGGAUGGGUAAUGGAUGUAGCUCCAUGGAGCCCAAGGCCCUUCCUGUGGAUUGUGGCUCAGUGUCAGUCACAUGUUGAUAGCAUGUGAUUCUUUAAUUGUCCAGAAGUCGGUGAGAGUAAUUUGACUCUGCGACAGAAGGGCAGCGGGCGAACCUGCCAAGCCGCACUUGAUAACCUGUGACAAGUGUAAUAACACACUUCUAUGUACAAAACAUGCACUUCUUCUUUUCACAUCUCUUGCUGCAUCUACGGAUCUAUCCAACACGGCAUUUAUUUAUUAUCGCAGACUAAAUGUUGAGAACGUUUGGGUGACACUAGGGGAACUUCAGAUUUCUCCAGGCCAUUGUUAAUACAAGCUGAAUGUUCUACAAGUUAAAGAGAUGUGAAAACUACAGCAAUAACAGGAAACAUCAGGAAAGAAUGGCGGCACUCGCUAAGACAAACUGUCGGAUCCAAGAGACUUAAGAGGAAAAAAUGGCCAAAAGAGAGGACAGAUGUGGACAAGAUAAGGUCAGGCAGAUGACAUUUUCACUGCCUUUCGAAACUGCAAUGUGUUUUGUGUUAGAAAAUUGUAUAUUUAAAAAUUGGCAAAAGACUUUUCUCAAUUCCUUAAAUUAAACUCUCUCCCCGGUUAAAGGAGUACCAAAACUCAUACAUCGCUCCGCAAAAAUGGCACAACCAAGAAACAGAGAAGCAGAAGUUCCCAAAAGGAGGGUGAUUGUAUAUUCAAGGCGACGUUAAAAUGAUCUGCGCCUCAAAACCACGGGAUUAUCAAGCCACAUCUGUUGGCCAUUCACCGGCUGCACAUGCGCUAAUCAUGAUGUGAAGAGUAAUUACCAUUAUGGAUCUUUGUGAAUGUGUGAAGCAAAAACAGCAGGGGCAGCGUUUUCUUUUUGUUGUAUAACUUUUCACAUUCCAGAGGGGCAGUUGAAAGAGUUAAGAGUGACAGAUCUUUGGACAUGUCGCCGGCAAAACAUCUUGUGGUGCCUAGAUAAUAAGAAACAGAGGGAAUAUGAGUGUGUGUGUGUUUAUAAAAGGCCAUAUUUAAAAAAGCUUUGCUUGUGUGUGUGUGUGUGUGUGUGUGUGUGUGUGCGGUGCAUGAGGGUGAUGCUGUCAUGGUAAAGGGUCAAAUAUGACUAAGACGUGUGCAGGUUUUGUGUGUCAGGCUACAUACACACAUGUGUCCCAGCCUCAUUUUAGAAAUGAUUUCAGUCCAUCCUAACUCACCUUAAAACGAACAUCACAAGACUAUUCAUCCUCUCUGGGCAUGCGGAUGUCGGUGUAAACAGGAAGUAGAUUGGUUGCUUAGUUAGUGGAUAUUUUCCACUGUAUUUCCCACAUACACCCUUGAUCAGACAAAGGGGCAAAACGUUUUUCUUUUCAAUCUUAGUUACACAACUGCAGCUCUGUUCCAACAACAUAUUUUGGUCUAUGUCUCUCACUGGUUUCCUUGCUUUUGCAGUGGUCUCACACUCUGCCGGGUCACUAGAGCUUUUGUUUGUUUUUACUUUUCCUGUGAACUUCACAAUAGUUGGGCACGACCAGCUAAGCACUGAUAACAUCGGGAAAGUCCUCUGUUUUAUAUCCGUUACCCUCCUCUGAGCUGCGAAGCGUGACUCAGAACGACACGUCCCGAUGGACACGUCUGCAAGAACCAACCCAGCAACAAACGUGUGGUUUCUGCCCGGCCACAUCGCAAGCGAACACGCCGCCGUUGGCGGUUUCAAACACCUCUGUUUUUUUGAGGAGGUCAACUGGUAUCACAAAACCAGUUGACCUCUCUUCUCUUCUCCUCUCCCUUCUCCUCUCCUUGUCUCAUCUCUCAUAGACAACCCAGCAAUUUGCCUUAAUCCAUAUUGACUGCUCCACCAUGACCUCACUCCAUAGGGUCCAGGCCUGAGGAUUUACUCCUAGACAGCCAAUCUAAACAACCUGAUAUAACUUCUUUUUCUCAGUGUGACUGUGUCUGUGUGUGUGUGUGUGUGUGUGUGUGAGAGAGAGACCCACAAAAACGUUGAUGUGAGUGUAUGUAGAAAAUGUGGCAGAGCAGCGUCUGUGUGUGUGAGUAAAGCUUUUCACUAUCAGCCUUUGGCAUGAUGAAUGGGACAAAGAUGUAAAGUCAGAGAUAAACCAAAGGCCCAGAGGCUCCCUGGGAGCCCGGCCAUAAAAGUCUCUUUUCACAACCAAUCGUUAGCUCCAUACAUGCGGGCAUAGGCCAUGCGGCCGCGCACAUGCAUUUAAACAGCUGAUGGCUACGUGAAGCUAAACAACCACUUGCAGAAAUAAAACCCUAACACAGUUUGACAAUAAAGGCGAAAUCGUUACGUGAGUGUUUCUUUGAUUUCUGACCGAUUGUUUCUCGACUCUAUGUUUCUAUAUAAUUGUGUGCUUUCUUUUGUUUUCCCGCUGCGUGAAUACACGUUAUUGUGCAGAAUGUAUGUGGGUUUGGCACGUCGAGUAUUUCAUGAGUAUAUGUUGUACCACCAGCUGGGUCAAUUUCAAUCUCUUUGCUUAAUUAAUGGUUUGCCUCUGGCACCACUGUGAAGAGAGCGCCGAUCUGCUCCUUCAGCUUUUUCAGCUCGCUGUGUACACACAAACAAUACACGGGCGCACACUCCAACAGGUGCACGGAUUGUGUGGGAGGACCAGCAAAGAACCAACGGCAGCAGCAUUGCAUCUCUCACAUACAAUUGCGAGCUCAAAGAGAAAAUAAGCACACUUCGCUGCACCCUUGCAUUUUUUUGCAUGUAUUUCAUGGUUGAUGAUUGGAAGCUAAGCAGUUUCUGUGAAACAAAUUAUUUGUCUAUUUGGCUGCAGAAACCUCAGAAAACUCAAAGACCAUAGGCGUGUAAAAAAAGAAAUGUGAAUUUAAUGGCAUUUUUUAAGGACUUACAUCACAUCCUUCCCCAAAACCUUCAGUUUUUCCCUUUUCAUGACCCUCCGUCAUUGUCUAAAUUUGUUCCAUUAUUUGUUGGCCUGCCAAGACAAUCCUCUAUCCAGCCCUCCACUUCCCCAUAGCCAGCAAACUCUCCUCAAUCUGUCCUCUCCCAUUCAUCCGGAGCCCUGAAAUGCGGAUGCAGCCCUUGUGUUGGGUGUUUACGUAUUCUGCCCUUGUAGGAGGCUGGCAUCUAUGACUUUGGAAACCACCGCAGACACUUUUCAGGGCAGUGCUCUUUUUCUUCCAUGCGGAGUUAUUAAGAUGCGUAUGUUUCAUUUAUGAUCAGAGCCUUUUCAAAGAGGGAUCUCUUGUCAGAAUCAAGCUUUGUCCAUAUCUUCCAUAUAUCUUCAGCAUCAUUCUCUGUCUCUCUCCAUUUCCUUAUCACCUUUAUCUUGCUGAGGCUGUCAUGCCUGUAUGCUAGACCCUCAAAGAGAGUACCCCCCCCACACACACACACACACAUUUCUUCCUGUGUGCAGCAAGCACACAAGGAUUGCAGGACCCUCAGAGCACCAGGGGUAAAAUCCCAGCUGAUUCCAGUUAAUACCAGAAAAAACAACAUCAGACGUGACGUGUCUGAUGAGCUAUUGUUUCGCUGGCACGGAGAGCGUAUCUAAAAUAUAUCCUGUGUCAUCUCCGUAAUGGAACAGGGGACAAAUCUCUCAGGUUUGUCAGUUUGCGGUUGGUUUAAAUAGGCCAGUGAAUAGCAAGAGAAAAGCUGAAAAUGGGUAAAGCAACCAAAAGGCAAUCGUGAUAGAUUUGGUCAAAUUGGAGCUGGGCAUGAAAAGGUAUGUGUCAUGCGUCAUGGAAGUUAAAUCUUCUCUCAGCGAAAAAAGUAUUCAAUGCUUAAUUCAAGUCCUUUAAGUGAAUGCUUGUUUGUCUUUGCUGUCCUGAAUGGUGCUUGAGAGCUUUUGGUUUCAACUGGAUGUCAAAGUUGUCUUGUAAAAAAUGCGCAUGUCAAAUUAAGUUAUCCACACAAGUGUUUUCUGAUCUUUAUAUUUAUGUAUGGAGAUCAUAUGUAUGCUUGGUUCAGGUUGAGCUACUGCGACCGAGCCUCAUGCCACGCUGGCACGAUGCGGCGCUGCAGAUGCAGGAGACGAUCCUUUUUUGAUCCUCUGACCAGAUCCAUAUAUGUCCGUUUCUUCUUGUGUGUGUCCGUUGUUGUUAGAGGAUUUCUAAGUCACAAAAAGGCACCAAAAGUUGAACACACUGAUUUUUAAAAAUCCUUUCCUGCUCCCCGGCACAGCUGAGCAUGCUGAGCCAAUCAAAUCAGUGCAAGACUCAUGACUCCUGACCCUUUGGUUUGGUGUGACCUGCUGAGAGACCGCAGUGCAGUACUCAAGGAAAACGUGGUUCAAAUCCAGGACAAAUAGCGGUGGAUAAAAGAAAAUAAAAUCUCUCUCUAAUCACCUCUAUUUAAUGCAAAAGCUUCAUGACAGCAAAAAUGCAAAUGAUCAAAAGCAGCAAUUAAUGCAGAUGCGUUUGGCUAAAGUGAACAGUGACCCCGUCGCAGUAUCGUAACUGUGUGACUAAUCAACCCGCUGGCUCCCUGAGUUAGGCGGUUGUAUAGUGCCAUUCCUCCUCUCCUCUAACCUACUCCCCCCCCACUGCCCGUCACCACGGGGGCCUCGGGGCCCGAAGUGGUGCACGAAUCCACAGGAGAGCUGUCAGGUGGUCCCGUGUCCCGCCCGGGGCAUGGAAGUGAGAGAGAGAGACAGAGAGGCCAGUGGGACGCUGCUACAGGUGAGUAAGUGAACAUGCUUCAUGGGUGGCCGACAGCGAGCGGAUCGAGACACGCUGGCACUCAUUUGUCUUUGAAAAAGAUUCAUCCGUCUCCUUUGGUUCGCCGCGUUUCCUCAAGAUGUGAGUGAUUGACGUGGGGUGGGGGGGGGGGUUGUUUCCGUGCUGCUCAGGCAUGACACACGCCAGUGAAACAAACGUCUGAUGUGGGGCUCUUUUGCUCAACCCAUAUUUAGUGCAAUGCACAGUGCGUUUUCUACCUUCAGGCAAACACGGCAGGAUACAAAAAUGUCCACUAUUUUGGUCUUGCGUGGACUUGUAAACUGCAUGAAAAACAUAUGUGGGGAAAAGUCUCAUCUGGUCUGUGACAAUGUUUCAUGGUCUCAGACAUGAUUGAAGUCAUUUUUCUUCUGGAUCACAGGAGACAAGAGUAAUGGGUAUUAUUUAAUGAGCCCAUGUCCCAGACAUGUCCAAGACAUUAGCCUUUUAAAUAUCCUGUGGCCUCCUGACAUUAAAAAAAAGUCUCAGAUGGACACCAGAUGUGUUCCUCUGGAUGUUCAUGUUAUCCUCCACAUGCAUGCACUGCUUUGCAGUGAACACUCUCUAAAUGUCUUUGUCUUGUUGCCUUUGGCAACCUUCUGCUCUCAUUGCUCGCUCCCCGGUGUUUCCGGUGGUGAGAACCGGUCACAUGCUGAGAAUCCCACCAGUCCGACACCACUGAGCUUCCACUCACCCACUGCGCUCAACGCGGUGCACCCGGGGAGAUGGUACUGUUUGAUGAGGCAGGGGAUACAGGCUGAGAUCCAAAGAGGGGGCAUUACUGUUGCACUGUGGCUCGACAAUUAUCCCCAAUUGUUAUACAGACCGUCAUUGGGUUUGGGCGACACACAAAUAUCUGCCUCUAGCUGUUGAAGGAAUAAGGGGGGCUGUAAAGGUGAAUCUCUCUUUUGUUUGUGUUGGUGUAGGAUUGAAACGUAUUUGACAAUCAACAGUUAUUUUCAAACAAAAGCGUUUUCAACGUAACACAGGGGCUGCAUGUUGGGGGCAGUGGGCCAUGUCCAAAUGGACUAAAAACCUUUCCCCUUUCAUUCUAGCGUUUUGACUGAACAACAAGUGAAUUCACAGCCCAUCGUGGACGACGGUUUAUGAUGCAAAUUAUUUGGUUGGAAAAAAAGUUGCUGAUUGGCACAAUGGCCCCUCAGGCAGCAGCACGCAUUUGAGACGCUGGCGAGAGACACGUCUCUAUCCGAUAGAUCUCUCUCUCUCAUUCUAUGCUAAAACAUCUCAGUGGAGGCCAUGCCUGCUUGGCCUCUCUGUCAGCAAAUGUCACUGCUAAUUAUGACAGGCUCCUUGUUCCCUAACAAGUCAGCGUUGGCGCUCCCAGGUCUGUCGGACUGGGUCCUACAGAUGAAUUGGGCUCUCAACGUCCCCGGUUCUCCGAGGGGUGCUGCACCAAGGUAAUUGCUCCAAUAUCCUGAGCUGCAGGCAUACAUAGUGCUGACAAGUUGGUAUUAGUCAAACAUGGCGGUUCAGAGGGCGGCUCCGCGUGCUUCUGGCCCGCUGGCCAGCAGGUGUGACAGUCCGGUGGGUAGACGUGUAACGCUGAUACUCAUCACACAGGAAUGGUUAGAUUUUGUAAUGUGAAUGAUGUCUUACGCGCCUUUGAUAGCGGAUCUCGUGCAAAAUUCUGAGACUGUCAGCUAUUCCAAAUCAAAAGUACUCCCCGAAGGCUUGAUUUGGGAAAUAAAACGAGCAUAUGGUCCCAUUUAACCUCUUGUAGUAUCAAAAACCAUGCAGAUGCAUUUUUGCUUUUAUUUACCCAGGUUUUAGGAUAGAUGUAUGCCACUGGGCUCUUGGCUACUUCCCCUUUAAAGUGGAGACGUAUACACAAUUGAUUGUGGUUAUAACCGCAUUGCAAAAUGUCCUUUCAUCAACAACACUGUUGCUAUUGAUAAUAAAACACGGGCAAACUAAGCAAAACAAUGGAGUUUUUUUUCCUUUUUGUAAUUUGGCAGAGACCGAAACGUUUUCAACAGAUGUUUUCAGUGAUUGUGUGAGAUGCUCAACAAAAGCUGCUUGUUCAACUUGUAUUAAUCGGCCCAAUUUGAGUGUCAUGCUGCAGUAAUGUAAGGUCAAAGCUCGCGAUUAAAUCAAAAGGGCGGUGUUUUUUUUGUGCCUGAUCCAUGUGUUCAGUGAGGUGAUGAGUCAGUCCCAACGCCGCCCCGCCUCGGGACUUGUGAUAGAUGUUACAUUUGGGGGAACCGGAUUGACCUCGGAUCACCCCGGAUCGUGUCAUCAGACAGGGCGCAGAAGGAUGACAUCAUGAUUCAUGAAGAACUGAAGAGAAAACUGAUGACAUCCCAACGCAGGUGUGUGAGCUGCCUAGAGUCGCUCUGCUGUGUCUUCAUCAUUCCAAGUUUCUCACUUUUUCUUUCAGAAGUGAUUACACUGAACAUGCUGACGAUUAUUCCCGCCCCAUAAUGAUGCGUGUGCGCCCGUAUUCUUUGUCAUGGGUUUAGGUGUGAACAAGCAUUCAGACAGGAAUCGGCGCUGCGGGUCAUCGUAACCACUUUACGCAGGUUUUGCCCUGAGCUUUCAUGAGUUCUUCAUACCAUUUUUAUUUAAAAAAAAACGUAAAAGUACAAAUCUCCGUCCCUGAGGACAUGAGGGAGGAUUACCGUGGCGUCGGCAUGGUGGCAUUCUCACGCUCACACAUUUAGAUUUAGGAAUGUAUGACUGACACAAUCGGGCCAAGAUUCCCUAAUAGGCACAAAUAAAACAACAUUAUUUUGUGCAAGUUGGAUGUUUGUAAUAACACCUCUGUAAAGAAAGGAGCACUUUGUAUGAAAAUGGAUGGCCCGUAGCUGGAAACAUUUCUGCAAAUGCAAUGUGCAUAACAAUUACCACCUCGCAAAUACCACAGGGCAAAUCUCUUUGUCAAUCGCCCGUCUCUGUGGCACUGCUAUUUCUCAUUAUCAGGUAUUCCUGUUGGGAGAAAAUGAUCUUAAUUUGAUCAGCGUCACAAGCCCUGGUGCAAAGCUGGGAUCUCGGCUUAUCCCUUUAUGUGCGUUAUUAUGAAUGUCCUGGUUAGAAAACUUUCCAUAAUGGCGGAGAAAAUUAGCAGGCUAAGCAUAUUCUAAUUCUAUUGUUGCCUCAUCAAUGAUGUAUAGCUGAGCUCCCUUUCCACAGAGCGACGCCCGCCAGAGGAUGAGAGAGACGGGAGGACAGACGCAGGGAAAGUACAGUUCGGAAAGAGAAGCAACUGUUAUUAAUAUGAGAUUAAUGUUCUUUGACUUGAACUGCCACACGACGCUAUUAUUCUGCUGCUUUGCCUUGAGCGAGACCGGCUAUUAGCUUUGUCCUGAGCACAUGCAUCCACAUUUCCUUUGGACAGAAGAGUCAUAAAGGGACGGUGAAACAUCAAUUUAUGCCUGGGACCUCAAAGAGAGACGAGAGGCCCCGUGCAGCCCGAACGACUGCUGCGCUGCACACUGCGGUCAGGAAUAUCAAAGGAUUUUCUACAUUCAUUGCCAUAAUGAAAGAGCAGCGAGAGUACAAAAGACAACUUGAUAGUUGCCCACCCUCUCUCCUCCCAGCUUUUUUCGUUGUGAUUGUAUUAGAGUAUUAUUCAGAGUUGAGGAUAGCCUCUCCAAAUUGAGGCCCUUAUUGCAGCAGCCUGCUGAAGCACCGUUCACAUUAGGGAAGGGACAAUGUGCUCAUAAUAUCUAUAUCAGCGGUGUCCUGUCUUAAUUCACUUUUAUUACAUCCAUUCAUAAUGCUCUCAUAAUGAUGAGAUGGAUCCAAGCCAAGGGAUUUUCAGAGUGUCACCUUUAUUAUCCCAUACUGUGAUUUGUCAUUUGCUCCUCUCCAGGUCCCUGUAAUGAGGAUAAGUUGGACUUCUCUGAAUUAGAUGUGAGGAUAAAACGCCGCCUCGCGAUGCACUCUUAAUCAUUAACCCUGCAUUUGCCCAUUGGAAGCAAUACACUUAAGGGUAGUAAAUGGAGAGAGUUUGGUUGGAAACGAGAAGAAAAGUACUCAAUACAGUUGUAGGUAGUGUAACCCCUUAAAUUGACGCGCACAGACUCACACAAGUACAAGUGUACGUGGUGAGUAUGCUGCACACGCGUGUACGUGCACAAAGUGAACACUUUGCAUCUCAGGGACGUUGGGAACAGCUGGAGCUGAUGCCGUUAGUGUGAUAAAAUGUUGCACGACAUAAUGCAUGGAACAUUAAGAGACAGACCACUUUGUUGCAGACCAAAUAAACAUUUCUACUGCUGGGCCUAUAGGGCUGUUUGUGGUUUUGGUCUCUGUGUGUGUAUAUAUGUGAGUCUUUGUUCAUUUAACGGGACAGAAUGGGGGAAAAAAGGGAAACUAUUACUGUGGAUGUUGGCUGCUGAAAAACUGUGUGCAGGUCAGGACAUAAAACCGCUGUUUUCACACCAGCGUUGGCUGAAAUAUAUUAUUGAUUCUUUGAUUCUUUAUCAGCUGGUACGUCCCAAACCUGUGGAGAAGCAUGCCACAUUUGGACAUUCACAUUCAUCCAAGGAAAUAUAUAUUUUUGGGGAUAUUUACAGUACUUUUCGAUGAAAGAUGAGACUGAUUGAUCUUUAACAUUACAGAUGUGUGGUAUGUACUGUAUAUGUACUAGAGGUUCCUACGUUGAGUCCGAUUUGGGGGAGAGGGAAAUGAAUUGCAGAAAUAGAAAUAAACUUGAAGUUUUACAAAUGUACUGUCAUGCCUGCACAGUAAAUAUCCCUACAGCUGGUAAACACAAAGACGGGACACUGGUGGAAACAGGUUCUGUUCCAGCCCUUCCAGUCAAGAAACACCGUGCCACAUAAUUCUCCUCCAAGCGUUGUUUUCUUUGUUCAAAUAAAACAAAUAGAAUGAUGUGUCAAUAUCUGAGCUCUAGAGGUGCUGGUGGGUGAUUUGUGUUUCCUUUGUACUGAGCCAAGCAUAUUGCCUCAAAUCUAAUGGCAUUACACUUUGGAAGAAUAUCAAAAGCAUAUAUCCUUUCUAUUUUCCAUUAUUAUUAUUUAUUUUUUCCAUCUACCUCCCACAUUGUAGUGCUAAGCACAUAUAUCCAACUUUUACAGAUAUACUCAUUUAAAACGUUGCGUAUUUUCACUAGAAAACCGAAGGCAACAUUGACAUUUUGUUUUUUUGUUCAGCCCCUUUUUACACAGUCUAUUCAAGACGCGAAUGUGGUGCCAUUAAAUUCCAUCUCCCUGUUCUGUUUUGAGGACGGGAUGGGUGGGGGCUGAGUUGUUUGGGCGUGAAGCCUGCAGCAGGGGUAGCAACAGAGCCGGCUUGACGUCUGUGUGUAGGGACAGCCUGCAUGGCGAUACAACACACACACACACACACACUAGAUGCUGCUUUUGUUGCCAUAAACAAAUGCAUGCUCUCUAAAAUCACACUGUGGGACAGAAUUAUGUCGGCGUCGUUUGGUUGAAAUUGCACUUUCUUGUUUCUUGUUCUCCUGGGUUUGUAUCUUUAUGGUUGAAAUGCACUAUCGUUGGAUAAAAGCGUCAGCUAAAUGACACGUAAUGUAAUGUUAAGUGUAAAAAAGCAGAGUGUAAUGUAGGAGCAGUAUUGCAGAAUCUCUGAAUGAAAGAGGUUUGCAUCCGGCCUUCUAGGAGCAGUGAGGUCUCUAACCCAAGAAACAAACACCUAAGGAAAGACGUUUAAUCAUAAUUAAAUCUAUUUAUUUAACUAAUCCAUAGUAAGUGAAUAUGCAAUAAAAUAAAGGAUGAGGUCUUUAUCCUCCUUAGUCUUUUCCUAGUACAUAAUGUAAAUUUCAAUGGCAUAAUCCAAUAGACCCCAUAAUGUAACUGAAAGUCUGUCACCUAUUUUUCCCCCCCUGCAAAAUGCCAACACUUAAACGCACCAUUUAUGAAUAUAUACAUUUGUAAAGAUAUACUGAGGCUAUUGGCCAUGUUCCCAUGUUGACUGCCUUCUGGGAGACAUAUAUUUCUCAAAAGCAUUGCAAUAGCAACACAAUUUAAAAAAAUAAAAAAAACACAUUGAUCAGUAUGAAAUAUGAGUGACAAGCUCUACGCUGAACCUGCUCAUGGGGUUUUAAACCAUGACAAAGGCCUUUCCCAAACUAUCCAUAGCUUACAUCAAGAGAGGCUGAAUCAGUCACACGGGUUCGGAUUUUUUUGUUUAAAUACAAGUCAUUUAAUUAUUUUGAUGAUUGACAGCACAUUUUGUCCUUGCGAGUACGCGUACGCACACAAAAGCGUUCACACGCAACGCGCUCUCUUCAUCGCUCUCUUCAUCGCUCUCUUCAUCGCUCUCUCUCUCUUUGUCUCUUGCGCCUGAAAGAAACGCAGGGCAGCCGUCGGCGCUGUAGGUCCCUGCUUUCUCUGCAUGAAUAGAAGGACCUUGGCUGUCUCGUUCAAGAACCUGAUUCAUCAUCCAAUAGGAAGCCCUUGUCCCUUACAUUGCUGUAUCUACUGCACCGAUGGCGUACUAAUGGCGACGUCGGGCCCCCCCGUCUGUUGUCCGUCAUUUGGAUUCAGGGCAGGGCCCGUCCCAGCAGAUACAUCCGAUUAGUCCCUCUCAUCGAUUUGUGCUGGCUCGUCAUGACUUAGUAAACCCAAGGUGUCUCUUCUAUGACAUGCUGUCUCCCUGUGAUUUAGUUUGCCAACGCUCUAAGUGCAUUGAGUGUGACAAUAAAAUCUUUAAUCUAAUAUGCAUUCUAAAGAGGGAGACAGCAGAGAAUUAAGAGCAAGUGAGGGAGCGGCACCGAGAAGGAAGGUAAUGUUCUCAAUGAGCUCUGAUGUAAUGAGAAAGGUUUUUGUCAAGUGAAUGAACGGAGAGACACUAGACACUGACGUUUGGAAUGCUACACUUGCAUUUACAGUAGAUCCCGACUGACCAAAUGAUGAGUAUUCUGAGGUGCCGCCAAGUGUUUAUUUCCCAACAACUUUUCGAGCCUUCUUGUAUUAAGGCAAAAUAUUAUUAUUAUCCUCUCAAAUUUCACGUCGGCGCUCUCAAGAGGUGGAAAGGUGUUUUCUGCUCGUAGGCUACGCAGCGUAAUCUGCGUCCGCAUAUGAAAGUCUGCGUGGGGAUCAAAAAGGGAGACGUGUUGACAUGAUUGUAUCCUAACACUUAACAGAUAUAUCAGAGAAAUGCUAUACCACGUUAUACUGUGCAUACCCGAGUAACGUAUUGUGAAAUUGAGCGAUACUUUAGAGAACUUUGAUUUUAAAGGUUUCCUGAGAGCAGUUUUAAUGUUUCCUUUGAAUGUUUUAUUAUUGUAUUAAAGGCAAGCCAUUAAACCUGUGCGGUGCCACUUUGUCUGCAUCCACUCAAUGAUUUAGUUUAUAUCUCCUCUAAUGUUAGGACGUCUGAUUGACUCAUUAGUGAAAUCCAAAUCCAAAGGAGUCAACGGAUCUCCAUUGAGGGAAGGCUAUUCGAUUAGUUUUAAUUAAUGCUUCGGCAAGUAGUGUGGCAUGUUUCGCUGCUGUCACACACCUCUAAUUGACUGAUAUUUGCAAGAGAACUGGUUCAAAGGACCCUAUUUGCUUUUCAUGUCUGUAAUUGCCUGUUGGCAUGCCUGACCCGCCGUGUUGACACUAGACACGCCGAGCCAAAUUUUCACAUCUUUUUAAUGAGUCGGUGUUACGAUGCUGUCUCUAAUUGUGCUGUUGGCAAAAGAACAAUAACAUUUACAAAAAAAAAAAAAAAAAAAGCCCACACCACCCAGCCAGCUAGUCAGUCAGUCAUUCAGCAGCCUUCCCAUCUCACCCUGCUGUGACCCCGGCUCUGCGAGCAUACAGAUUACAGUGUGAGAGAGGAGGAGAACCUCGGGCGUGAUGCCAGACACUUGUCAUUUUGGCCGGAAUCACUUCAAUACAUCAUAUUGAAGCUCCCGAUGAAGGCAGGUAGCCUUUAUCAAAAGGGCAUUACUAGAAUCACCAUGAAAAUGUACUCGUACGGUACAAUCAGUUAAACCAUUUUUCUUUUUUUUUUUUUAGGGAAAGUCAAGGCGAUGUCACCGGUAAAAUUGAAAAAAGAAUAUUUUUGUGCAUAAGAUGUGAAUGUUUACAAUUGCUGCAAGAGAAUAACAAAGGGAGCUUGAAUAACCAUAUUGUGUCUGUCCGUCCCAUUUUCAUGUCACUGGGAAAACACAUCAUCUCCACCCUGGUAGCUGAUGUUGGUAUUGUUUUCCUCCCCUCCUAAUGGUCAAAUAGAGAAAAGAAAAAUAAUACAACCAGAUUUAAAAAAAGACGUUGAGCCAUGUUUGCAGUGCUCUGCACAUGUGGACAAGGGUGAGAAAGGAAAAUAAGCCUGCAUGAGAAGUAAUCAAGGCGGCCCGCUAGGCCUGUGACAGCGGGUUAAGAGGAGGGGAUGGGGAGGGAAAGCUCUGUUUCCAUGCUUUAGAAAAUGAAAGCAGCUGGGGGUAUACGCUGUGCACUCUAUUCAGGCAUGUAUGCUCGUUCUCAAGUGAGUUUUGAAUGAGUGUGUGUGUGUGUGUGUGUGUGUGUGUGUGAGAGAGAGGGAGAUGGGACGCAGCAGGAGAGGAAUGCAGUCACGGCUGUAAAAGUGGGUGUGAAAACAGCCAUGUUCACUGACCUCCAAGCUGACCUCCCCACCAGUUCCCCCUGGUGUGUGUGUGUGUGUCCAAAAUCAAGCAUGAAUUAGUUUUGAGUAUGUGAUCAUAUUUGCCUGCGUUGCAACGUGUGUGUGUGUGUGUAUAGCCAGUGUGUAUUGGUACAUGUAAGUGAAUGGCCCUGAGUUUGCAAACAUCUGUGGGGAAGAGGUCAAGAGGAUUAUCUCAAAAUAUUAGCUGCUCUCUCCCCUCAUCCUCCCUCCUUCUGCCUUUCCUCUCCCUUUCCUCUCUCCUCCCGAAAAACAUCCAACAGCACCUGUUGCGCAGACAAACACACACAGACAAACACACAGACAGACACACAGGCAGACACACAGCAGACAUAGUGAAGAGUGUCUUCCAACAGUGUAAAUCUGCAGAAAUAUAGACUGGAUGUUUAACGUGCCUGUCACUGUAAACUCUCCCCAAGCUUUCAGCACAUUAUAUCCUUAUGAAUUUACGUUGCAGUUAUUAUCGUGAGGGAUUUCCCACCUGACUCUAUAGGCCCGCAGCUCAUUUUCUUAAAGGCAAUAAAUCAUCCUUUUGUGUAUCUGUCUAAUUUCAGCCGACAACAGACGCAGUUUCCCCCGGCGGACUUGGGUUUGUCCCCGAUUUCCAUCAGCGAUCCCGCCCGCUCGCCGCUGCGGGGCGUCCGGACUCCUGAACCCCGCGAACCGGCUGCAUGUCGCGUCUUUACACGGAGCCCAAGCGUGGCCGUCCUCUCUCGGUUGGAGGGAAGACUGGAUGUAACCAAUUUUGCAGUUGUAUUUCCUACAAUUGUACUUUAAAAAUGAGCAGAAGAUUGAUUUGGAGUAGGACAUAUUGGGGGAGAAAAAUAAUCGGGAAUGGAUAAAUCAUUAAAUCGGCGUAAAAACCCAAAUACAACAAAUGUUGUGAUUAUUUAUCAGUCCGUAUACUAUCUGAUAUUUUAUCUAAAAACAAAAAAAAAGCGAGGGAGUAAUUGGAGUCCGCUGUCCUUUGCGCUUCGCUGCGUUCGUUUGCAUGCGAUUCAAUUGCGCCAUGCGCGCUAAUCGCCCGGAUCUGUUUCUGAAAAGCGGUCCCUGUCCGGCGCACCUCCUCACCCCCCCUGUCCCCUUCCAGCUCUACCUCUCGGUAAUUGAAUUAGCUCGGUUUUGGGCGUGGGGGAGGGGCUUGUCUUUGUUCUAGUGACGCCCACCGAAAUGAUUUCAAACCAAUGGGACUAUCCCCCGCUCGGCCGUGACCAAACCCACUCCCUCAUUCGGCGUGCGGAGCUGCCUGCGUGCCCGUCUCAGCCCUCACCUUCCUGCGCGUCCCGGCGUCUUAAAAAAAAAAAGAAGACCAAACACAAGAACGAGGAAGAACGACACCAGCACGCGCAUGCGGGAAAACGCGAGAUUUGUCUUCUUUUUUUUCUUUCUUUAAAAAAAAUAAGAGAAGAAAAACCCGCAACCCCGCACGCCGCGCGAUGACUUAUGUAUGAGGACUCCAGUUUUGGGAUGCGGACAUCAACGAGCGUCUCCGCGGAGAGAAGCGCAUGAGAAAACCCAACGUGUCCGCUCUCCCCCUCCGACGAGCGAGAAGGACCCCUCCCCACCCCGGCCGCGACACCUCCGGCACACACCCGAGGAAAGGAUAACUGCCCCCUCGUAUUAAAGGCCGAAGGCGAAAGACGUCCCCGUCCGCCGGCUGACUGUAUGGCUUUAAAAAGUUGCAUGGAGAACAUGGACAUCUGACGUGCGCCCCCCGGCGUCAUUGGACACAUCGAGCGCCCCCCCCCCCCCUCCCCCCGCUCUCACUCUCUCUCUCUUCUCCAUCACACGGUGGACUGACUGUACUCCCCCCACACACACUCCUGCGCUUUGGCCGUGGAGUAAGAAGAAGUGUUCGGCAGUUGUCCUUUGCCCUGACACAGGCUCCGUCCAGCAGCGCGCCCUGCGUCCGCCCGAGCCGCGCCACAAGGCAGUGCCUGUUGUGCUGCGCAUUUGUUGUGUGAGUUAGGCGAGAGACAUAUUUUCUCCCAACUGACA